CAAAUAUUACUUCUAGUUACUUAACCAACUAAAUUAGCUUCAAACUUCUGUAAACUAAGCAUAUCAACUCAAACAAGCAACCAACAGAAUAUAAAUAUUAUUCUAGUGAUUUAAAUGCAUGGAUUAAACCAUUAAUUCAAGUUGAAAAAUCACAAAUAUUGUAAUGGCACCAUGAAAAUGUUGUUGUGGCUUGCCUUAGUGCAGAUGAGGUUCACAAUACUCCUGGUGAUCCUCAAGACAAGCUUCACUUUCUCAAAACAAUUAUAAACACAAAAAGAAAACAUCAAGAACCCUUCUGAAAUUCACCAGAAAAUCUAGACAGCAGAGAAAAAUCUCAUUUUUGGUGAGCUGCUAGAUUUCUUCAUAAAGAACACAAUGCAAAAAGAAUCAAUUCAUUUGGACUUAUGGUUAAAAAGUUUUGGCUGUUUGAAGCUCUCUGGAUAAAAUUGAAUUUUGAAUUUAAAUAAAUAGAACUGGGGGGUGACGUCGAAGGCGUAAACCUCGCGGGUGCCACCACUCAUACCGCUUUGGGCGCGUACAGAGUGGCUGACUAGCGGACCCCGCUAGUCAGGUGAGAGGGAGGGGAGAGGGAAACAGAGGGUGGCGAGGCUCCGCCGGAGCACAUGCCGGCGAUGAGGGCUCCUUGGCCAGAACUGGAGGGAGGGAUCGAAAGAGGAGACGGAGGCACACCUGCCCGUACCCGUAGGUUAGCUAGGGGUGGUCGGACGGCGUCGGAAACGGCCUCUCCAGCUGCGACAGAAAGCAGAGGUCGCCGGAGUUGGAGACGACGGCGACUAGAGGCAGCACCGGGGGCUCCAACCGGGUGGAACAGCACCACCGAGGCACGGCGGAGGCCCUGGAAGGGUGGCCCAAGCCUCAGAGGGGCUGGAGCUGCGGAGACGACCCAAGGGGAUCGCCGGCGAGCUCGAGCUCGGGGACGGCGGCCUGCCCGGUCGGGCUACGGCUUUCUACGAGUUUGUGGAGUGUGUGUGAGGAGUGGAUGAUGCUCGAGGAGGCUGGGGAGGGCUCUAUUUAUAGCCGAGCGAUGAGAGGGGCUCGGGCUCCACCGGAGGACACCUGGACACGGCGCCCGGCAACAAACGACAUCAGUGAGCGAGGGGGAAGGCGACGCAGCUCACGCGGGCACUGUGGGCGAGCGGAGACGAGCACAUGAGCGAGGGGGUGGCGACAAACACAGUGCGCAGCGCACUGUUGGGUUGGCCGGACCGCGCCCGUGCUCGCUGCGGCGAGCUCCGGUGUCGGCGAGCUCCAGGAGAGAGUUAUGAGGGCCGGGAGGAUGAUCGGGCCGAAGUUUGGCAAGGUUGGCAAGCGGGGAAGCGAUCACGCGAGCAACAGAGGCGCGGGCGCGACGCAGAGCGCGUCGGCCAUAUGCCAGCACGCCUGGACGAACGCGGUCACCGCGUGAACUCUGACCUCAAGCUGAGCUAAGCCUAAACUUCAUGUCUGGCGUGUAGUCUGUGGUAGAUUGAGAGGUUACCACACUUUGGUUUGAGCUCAGGCACAGUAACAUGGAUUUCAACUUCCUAGUAAGUUUCUGGACAGUAACUUUGAGAGCUUAUUGUGGUCAAAAUACUGGGAGUUGGGAGCUAGGCUUUGGAGGUUAGCAAUCAUCUACUAAGGUGAUGAUGCACAAGAAAAUUCAGCCACAAUUGAGCAAGUAAUUAAAAUGGUAGUUGCUGUAGAAACUACCAUUUCUAUCCAGAACAGAAAAUAUUUUCUGUAGCAAAAAUAUUCCAAAAAGUGAUGAAAUAUUUUUGCUCCGGAAGGUGCCCUAGGGUUCAAAGAAUAUUUGGGAAUUUUCUCAGAUUUUUGUGGGCAAGAAAAAUUGGGGUUGCUUUGGACACAAGGGGCUAGUUAGGGUUUUAGAGAGAAAAUGAAUAUUUUUCAUUAGAGAAAAAUAUUCAUAAUAUUGUUUUGAGAUGGAUCAGAGAAGAAAUGAUGGCUUAGGGAGAGAAAUAAGUCACUUGGGUGAAAGUCAAGGGGGUACCCCAAGUGUUUAAGUCCAUCUGAAGUGAUUCAAAAUUUCAAAUUCAAAUCCAAACCAACUGAAAAUCAGGCAAAGAGAAGAGGGCAAAAACCAGGCUGUCACAGGUGGAGGGCGCGCCCAGGGGGGUAGCCCCCCCAAAUAGUCCUAUUUUUCCUCCAUGUCGAUAAGGAGCUAAAAGAUCGACGACCUUAAUACCUGUUUCAAAGAUGGAUAAUUUCGCGGUUAUAUAGAUAUUUUCUAUACUAGGGUCUUUACGCUCGGUAUAAGAGGGUUAACCGAACUCACGGAGUUUUUUGAUAAGGGUGUUAUUGAUGGAAUUACCAAGGCAAUACCGACGGUGUCCGCUUGACCUUUUCUAAGCGGGGACAGAAUGAAACGACCAUAAUAAAGGCGCUUACUAUCUACUCUUGAUUCAACACACGUCCAUUGUAGUGUUUGAGUGGAUCUUGCUCGGUUUUUUGGGGUUGAUAGUGGAAAAGUCGACAGAUAAGUCACCCUUACUGUCCCUUUACAGAACGGGGCGCGCCCCCGACCUUGUGGGCCCCUUGUAGACCCCCUGACCUAGAUCUCCCUCCUAUAUAUACUCUUAUACCCCAAAACAUCCAGGGGAGCAACGAAACCACUUUUCCACCGCCGCAACCUUCUGUACCCGUGAGAUCCCAUCUUGGGGCCUUUUCUAGCAUCCUGCCGGAGGGGGAUUCGAUUCACCCACCAUAAUAAAUUCUAUCUUGAGAGAAGCCUCUAGUGAAACCUAUGGCCCCCCGGUCUAUUUUACAACAUAUUAGUUUCCCGUCAACUUGCCAAUUUCUGUCGCCGUUCCUUUACUUUACAAUCUUUUACUUUUCGUUCCAUAAACCAAAAAUACCAAAAAUAUUACUUUACCGUUUAUCCAUCUCUAUCAGAUCUCACUUUGCGAAUAACCGUGAAGGGAUUGACAACCCCUUUGUCGCGUUGGUUGCAAGUUGGUGUUUGUUUGUGUAGGUAUUCGGUGGCUUGUCGCGUUGUCUCCUACUGGAUUGAUACCUUGGUUCUCAAAAAUGAGGGAAAUACUUACGCUACUUUGCUGCAUCACCCUUUCCUCUUCAAGGGAAAAACUAACGUAAGCUCAAGAGGUAGCAGCAAGCAAAUAGAAGGCACAUGGAAACACGAACAAAAAGACAUGCGGAAAGAAGGCCAAUAAAAAGGCAAAUCUUUUCGAAAAUUGUUCUAGAAGUGGGGGAUAGGAAAACGAGAGGCGAAUGGCGAAUAAUGUAAUGCAAGAGAUGAGAGUUUAUGAUGGGUACUUGGUAUGUCUUGACUUGGCGUAGAUCUCCCCGGCAACGGCGCCAAAAAUUCUUCCUGCUACUUCUUAAGCUUGCGUUGCUUUUCCCUUGAAGAGGAAAGGGUGAUGCAGCAAAGUAGAGAUAAGUAUUUCCCUCAGUUUGAGAACCAAGGUAUCAAUCCAGUAGGAGACAACGCACAAAUCACCGAAUACCUGCACAAACAAUCAAACAAACUUGCACCCAACGCGAUAAAGGGGUUGUCAAUCCCUUCACGGUUACUUGCAAAAGUGAGAUCUGAUAGAGAUAGAUAAAUGAUAAAGUAAAUAUUUUUGGUAUUUUUGGUUUAUAGAUCGAAAAGUAAAAGAUUGCAAAAAGAGUAGAUCAGAAACUAAUAUUGUAGAUCGGAAACUUAUAUGAUGGAAAAUAGACCCGGGCAUAGGUUUCACUAGAGGCUUCUCUCAAGAUAGCAAAUAAUAUGGUGGGUGAAGAAAUUACUGCCGAGCAAUUGAUAGAAAAGCGCAAAGUUAUGACGAUAUCUAAGGCAAUGAUCAUGAAUAUAGGCAUCACGUUCGUGUCAAGUAGACCGAAACGAUUCUGCAUCUACUACUAUUACUCCACACAUCGACCGCUAUCGAGCAUGCAUCUAGAGUAUUAAGUUCAUGAAGAACAGAGUAACGCAUUAAGUAAGAUGACAUGAUGUAGAGGAAUUAACUCAAGCAAUAUGAUGAAACCCCCAUCUUUUUAUCCUCGAUGGCAACAAUACAAUACGUGCCUUGCUGCCCUACUGUCAUUGGGAAAGGACACCUAAAGAUUGAACCCAAAGCUAAGCACUUCUCCCAGUGCAAGAAAAACCAAUCUAGUUGGCCAAACCAAACCGAUAGUUCGAAGAGAAUUACAAAGAUAUCAAAUCAUGCAUAAAAGAAUUCAGAGAAGAUUCAAUUAAUAUUCAUAGAUAAGCUGAUCAUAAAUCCACAAUUCAUCGGAUCUUGGCAAACACAUCGCAAAAAAGUAUUACAUCGAAUAGAUCUCCAAGAACAUCGAGGAGAACAUGGUAUUGAGAAUCAAAGAGAGAGAAGAAGCCAUCUAGCUACUAGCUAUGCACCUGUAGGUCUGUGGUAAACUACUCACGCUUCAUCGGAAGGGCAAUAGAGUUGAUGUAGAAGCCCUCCGUGAUCAAAUCCCCCUCCGGUAGGGUGCCGGAAAAGGUCCCUAGAUGGGAUCUCAUGGGUACAGAAGGUUGCGGCAGCGGAAAAGUGUUUUUGUGGAUGCCUCUGGUGGUUUGGGGAUAUAUGGGAAUAUAUAGGCGAAAGAAUUAGGUCAGGAAGUGCACGAGGGUCCCACAAGGGUGGGGGGCGCACCCUACGUCCUUGUGGCCGCCUCGUGGCUCCUCCGACUUCAUCUCCAAGUAUCAUGGUUGUCUUCUGGUCCAAGAAAAAUCAUUGCGAAAGUUUAUUCCGUUUGGACUCCGUUUUGUAUUCCUUUUCUGCGAAACUCAAAAACAGGGAAAAACAGGAACUGGCACUGGGCUCUAGGUUAAUAGGUUAGUCCCAAAAAUAAUAUAAAAUAGCAUAUUAAUGCAUAUAAAACAUCCAAAACAGGUAAUAUAAUAGCAUGGAACAAUCAAAAAUUAUAGAUACGUUGGAGACGUAUCAGUGAUCGUGCUCAUCUCGAUGGCAUUAGCAGAACCCUGGCACUAGCGAUGGGCAUCUAAAAUCGACCUGCCAAAUUUACUAUAAAUACGGAAACCACACACUUCGUCACCACCAUACGGUUCAAUCAAGCCUACCAUUCUGAGCCACCAAGCGGUGGCAACUCGUCUUCCGUCGGUUACAGCAUUGACAGUAUGAUAAUAUAGAGGCAACCAACCUGACAAGCGACCCCGGCCGUCUCAUGAUGCAUGAGAGGUUCUCCAGCAAGGACAAGGUCUGAAGUUAUCUUCGAUGUUUCCUAAAAAAAUAGAGGCACAAUUGUCUUAUUCAAUAGUCUGAAGUUAUCUUCGAGUCCAUCACAAUUCAAAGAAAAUCUCUUGCUCCUUAGCAUAAGAGUCAUCUGUGUGUGAUUUAUAAUAUGCUAGUUAACCAAGAGUCAUACACAUUCUUUUAAUGAUUCCACACAUGCAAUAUCUCAAGUUAUGGUUGAGUCCAUCGCCAAUCAAAUGAAUCCAUUGCUUGUUCGCAAGAGUCAUCAGAGUGUGGUUUAUAUGCUACUUAGCCAAGACUCAUAAAUUUUCUUUCAGUGAUUAUAUACAUGCAACAUCUUCACCUCUUGAACUAGCACAAUGAUGUUUGGGGGCCUGCUCUCACAUCUAUAGGAGGUAUUAAACAUUACGUAAAUUUCUCAAGGAUUUCAGUCGCUAUACAUGGACUAUUUGCUCAAGGAAAGAAUGGCGUUGAGCAAUGAGCAUGCCUUUUACAAUUUCCAAGCACAUGUCGAGAAAUACCUCAACACCAAAAUUCGCUCAAUUCGUUCAAAGUAGGGUGGAGAAUAUCAUAAGUUGCAUCAACACUUCCAAUAAUGUGGGAUCACACACAUUGUCUCGUUCCCUCACCCUUUGCUCAAAACGCCAUUUUCAAAAGCAAGCACUGGAACAUUGUUGAGGUUGGACUUGCCCUCCUUCCUCAUGCCUUUCUCUUGUUUUUUUGGGGUGAAGCUUUCCCUUAUGGCAUGCUACCUAAUGAUUCGACCCAACAAACUUCUGCAAAACAACAACACAUUAUACAAUUUACUUCUAUUAAGUAUGUUAGCUUCUUACUUUUGCAGCAUAGUGACAAUAUCAUACGAAGGGAGAGUCUAUGAUUGAUCGUGAACAAGAAAACGUUGCAAGUGCAUACCCGCAAACCAUUUCAAGGAAAGAUGCGUAGAUAUGCCAAAACAGUAAUUAGGUGGGCUAAAUCAUCCUAACAGGAAGCGUCCAAUCGAUCAGGUGAUUAUUAAUGUUGGUACUUCUCCCACAAGUCUUCUAAAUAAAAAGAGAUGUACAAUAUGAUCAUAUACCCUUCGUGAAUACAUGUGAAGCUCCUAGUGAUGAUACUAAUUUGAAGUGUCUGGAAGAUUUGAAGCUUAUUUUCUUCUUAGCGUGUGGCCCAUCAUCGAGGAAACAAACUUCAAAUCUUUCUAACCCUUCAAAUUAGUAGCAUCACUGGGAGUGUUGUUUGUAUUGAUGAGAUAUACAAUCAAAUUCAUACAUUUGUUUUUCUUUAUAAAACAUUUAGGAGAAUACCAACAUUUUUAGUUGGUGCAUGAUCGAUUAACGCUUCUCGUUCAGUCUCCACAUUGUUUCUUGAGAGUAGUCACAGGAAAGCACUUAGGCCCUGUACAACGUAGGUGCUUAAGUUGGUGGUUCAAUAAGAAAACCCUUGUGUUGCCAGCCUGCUUAGCACAGGUGCUUAGGAUGAGGCACAUAAGCAAACUUUGGCUCCCGGUGCUAGCCGGUGCUUGCCCUUCCAUGAAACUAUAGUUAACUCGGGUCAACCUUAAUUAAAGCAACUUAGGCACCCGUAUGAAGCACCUAGCGUCGUAAGGUACAAAAUUUCUGAGAUACAACUUUAGUCUCUCUCUCUCUUUCUCUUUAAGCAUCCGUGCAUGAACCCCCGGCAUUAUACAAGGCCUUACAUUGGUAGGCGGUUCAUGAUUAUUUAGAGGCUUUCGGUCAUAUGAUAUUUUUCAUGUUUUGGAAAAAGCAAAACAUACAUGUUCAAUGGAGGUAACUAUUAUAGGUGGUGAAGAACAAACAACACACGUGUUGUUCCAUCACUAGAAGAAAAAUGUUUCAAGCGUCGUUGAUUCUAAAAUAAGAAUAAUAUUAAGGCCGUCUAGAAUUUUGCUUUUGCUCUCCUCAUGAAUCCCCGGAGCAGCAACAUAGCAAGUACCAAAACACUCACUAGUGUGAUUAAGGAUCAUUACCAAGUCUGAAUCUUGUUUUUAGCAAACCUCUUAAAUUAAGCAAUACUCUCGUUUGUACUACACUAAUUUUUUCAGGACAUAACAUGUUAUUGGACAUAUUUGAAGGCUCCACCUCAUAUAUGUGUGUGUUUAACACUAUUUUUUGUUCAUUCCAAUCAUUAAUGUCCCAUCAUAUACCUAUAUAAUUUCACCCCCAGGCGAACAGGGAUGGCAAGACAUGCUUUCAUGUUAUGGUAAGCUACACAUCAUGUUAUGGUAAGCUACUCAUUAACCCAGAAAUUCUCUAGUGUCCAUAAAUGCAUUGGUAGAGUAAGAUGCCCAACUUCAUCUUCGACUGCUAACGAGUUUGAAAAGGCUGGAUAUGCAUAAUGUAUAGACAACAGAUUCAAAAUUUUAUUAUUUUGCUAAUAUGAAUACUUAGUUAGAAUAGAUGAAGUAAAGAAUAGUGGCAAUAACACUCACCUAGAUACUUACUUCAUUCAUGCCCAACCCUAAUUGGUAGAAAUAUCCGAAGCUCCCUAUGAAUUGAUGGAAGAACUCAUCAUUUAGAAAGAUUAUUUCUAUUUGAUCAAGGUAAAUUUCAAUGAGAUUGAAGGAACACUUCUAGUCUGGGUCAUGAAGAACGCUCCUACAUCCAUCGUCGGAGAAGAACUAAAGCAUCUUUAACAUCAAAUGUGUUUGAUAUAUGCGCCGAUCUAUCUAGAUAUCACAGUCCAAUACGGCGACCGACUAUCAUGUAAAAAUAAUAGAAAAGUAUGCACAUGACCGGACUAAUUAUCAUGUUCACUAUUGUAGUACAAAACGUAUGUGGAGUCAGCUCGAGGUGUUAGCACGUCAUAGAAAGCCCGCAACAAAGUCACUAUCUAUAUUCGUGAUGCUCAGCGUGUAUUGCAUUAAUAGCUCACACUAAAUGAAGAGUGUUGCCAUAAAAUGGCAAGUGGUGAAAGUAUAAGGAUUCAUUGUGCGAAUUGGAAGAACCCCCCUGGAAAACUUACAUAAUGAGAUGAAAGGAAAAGAAAUAAAAAGGACAAGUGCAUCAUUCAUGAUGGUUGGUAAAGGCAUAACUAUUGUAUCAAGGAGACCCUUAUCAUAUACUCCUUUUUUUUCUAAAUCCACAUGUAGUUUCAGCAACACAUCUUGGUAUGUACGUACAAUCUGAAGAACAAAUUAAAGUCCCAUUUGCAUGUUUAUAAAUACUUACUUGUUGAAUCACCCCGAUGAGCUCUUUCGGCCCCUGGUUAUUGGCCAAGGAGGAUUUACCACAUAAAGAUCAUCUUUGAUGUCGUUCUUCAGGCUAAAAUGGUAUCUACCUUGGUGUACCACAUCAAAGAGGGUGGGGAGUUUGCUACAUCACCAAAUCAUAGCCAUGAUACCAACUAGUUGAAUUUGUCACCUUUGGAUGCACAUCAUUGAUUUAUGGAUUGGAUCUUCGCCUUUGUUUCUGGAUCCACUAUCUUCCACUAUGACCACCUCUUUAUUGUUUGGGAUCAGUUAAAUUUUAUCAAAUGUCCCCUUCUCAUCGCCCUUAAACGACGCAAGGGUUACACGAUGGUGGGUUCUCAUAGUUUCACGCCAAACAAGUUAGGAUGUGUAGAGGCGGUGCAGUGGACAUGUGCAAAUCUCACCCGAGAGGCACAUAGAGUACGUGAGGCAUGCAAUGUAUCUAAAGGAUGAAUUUACAUGCCAGGAAGGGCGUCCCAUGAAUGCCUUGCCUGAGGCAUCGAUGUUCCCCAUGCAAUAGUGUGGGCCCUAAGCCGACGUGUUGGCAAUUUCCUUGCAUGGAUGUUGAUGUCAAGGCCCUUAUGCCUCCUCUUCCUACCACCCCUUUUAUUUCUUAAUUUGCAUCAAUGUUCGGCAACAUGACUUAGUAUAUGCAUACAAUAUAAAAAGCAAAAUUAAUGAAUAUAAUUUUGAGGUCCCUCUCGCUAGCAAUUAUUUUACCUUGGUGCACCACCCCAAAGUGGGUGGGAGUUGGCGCUUUAUCACCUAGUAUAUCACAUCUAGGAUACCAACCAGUCGGAUCUCUCACCUUUGGAUGCGCAUCGCCGUUUGUGGACCAGAUCUUCAUCAUUUUCUUUAGAUCCAUUGUCUUCCGCCAUGAACAUUUAUUUAGGAUCCCAUAACUUCAAUGGAGGGAAGAACACAUGAUGAUAGGUUGUGGAGGUUUAGCAGUAUCAAUGCGAAACGAAUUAGGGUGCACAUCGGAGGUGAAGUGGAUGUGUCCAGACCUCACCCAAGAGGAACAUGGAGCAAGGCCAGAUCUAAAGUGGUGACGCUCAUGGGAGGGCGCUAUGGAUGAUGGUGGAAGCGAAGGAGAAAGGAGGGUUGGCGAGGAAGAGGGGUGGCAAUGGCAGCAGGGAAGGGGUGGAAUGAUGAGAAGAAUGACUAUUAGGGUUGAGUUUAUAUAGAAGUGGGGUUUGAGAGGAAAGAGCCAUCACCGUUUGAUAUGGAUUCGAUUGUGCUAAUUUCUUUAAUAUAAAGCUGGAAAAAAAUUGAGUGCCACGUAGUAACUCCUAUUUAAUAGACAUGGUAUUUCCCAACUAAAGUACAAUCUCCACAAUAAACCUCUUACUCCCUCUGUUCCUUUAUAUAAGGUGUAUUACCACUAUGAAAGGAACAAACAUUAUUAUUUUCUUGCCAAUAGGAGUAUUACCACUAUGAAAGGAACAAACACUGGUCCUUUGUUUUAGAAAAAAUGUCUCUAGCACCCCACAUGGUUGUUCAAUAAAUUUUGACAUUGGAGUUUUGAUGUUAAAUAAAACCUCCCACAUACCACACCAAUGCCAAAUGAUAUACUCCUAAGUCACAAGUAUAUGUUGGCAAUCCUCCGCCAACAACAUGCUUGUCCUCUUGCCAUCCUCCAUCUCCUUGUCCCUAAAUCAAUUGUUGUUGUCGGCUCCCAUGGCACCCAUGCUCUUCCAGAAUCUUUGCCGCUGCCUAUCCACUCAACCUAAAAAAACAAAAAAUAAUGAAUACAUACAAUCUAAAAAUCAAAAUUAAUAAAUAACCUUUUUUUAGUUCCCGAUAGCUAACAAUUAUUUUACCUUGGUGCACCACCCCAAAGUGGGUGGGAGAUAGUGCUCCAUCACCUGGUAUAUCACAUCUAGGAUACCAACUAGUUGAAUCUCACUUAUGGAUGUGUGUCACCAUUUGUGGACCAGAUCUUCAUCCUCUUCUUUAGAUCCAUCGUUUUCCGCCAUGAACACUUAUUUAGGAUCACAUAACUUCAAUGGAGGGAAGAACCCAUGAUGGUGGGAUCUGAAGGUUUAGCCAUCUCCAUGCGAAAUGAUUUAGGGUGCAUAUAGGAGGUGCAGUGGGUGCGUGCAAACCUCACCAAGAAGAACAUGAAGUAGGGAAGGCAAGGCGAGAUCAAAAGUGGCGGCGUUCGUGGGUGGGAGGUAUGGAUGAUGGUGGAAGCGAGGGGGAAAAUAGGGUUGCCGAGGAAGCGGGAUCGCGGCGGCAGCGGCGAGGGAGGGGAGAGGGAGGGUGGAAUGAUGAGAAGAAUGGCUAUUAGGGUUGAGUUUAUAUAGAAGUGGGGUUUGGGAGGAAAGGAGCACCACUAUUUGGUAUGGAUUUGAUGGUGCUGGUUUACUUUUACAUAAAUCUGCAAAAAAAUACUAUUUGAGUGGUACAUAGUAACUCCUAUAUAAUAGACAAGAUAUGUCCUGAUUAAAGUGCAAUAACCACAAUAAACCUCUUAUUUCACAAGCAAAAAAAGUGUUUUUUCAGUUUCGUAAAAAACAAUUUCUUUCUUUCUUGUGAAUACCGCUACGAAAGGAACAAACAUUGGUCCUUUGUUUUAGAAAAGGACGCGACUAACUUCCAGUCAACUGGAAGUUAGCGAUAGGUGCGGACGACUAGUUCCUACAUGAUCGUUAUCAUCACACGCUCGCUUCCACUGGUUUUUUUCCUUCUCUCAAAAACCGUUGAUGGAAACAAUAAAUCGCUAGUGGUUUUUUUUUGUUUUUUCGCUGCAUAAUACGAGAAUAAAAUAAAAGUGCUUGAAAGAGGAUUCGUACCCAGGUCUAUGCAAUAGCUAUUGAGCCCAAUAGGCAACUAAGCCACCUUUAGUUGUUGUCUAUUGUAGAUAAACAAUGUUAAUUGGACCUUUCUUAUUUCCGCCAUAUCAGAAAAAAAUGAUAAACUUUGGCUUGGUAACUUUGGCAUGACCAGCGUCAUAACUAUGGUAUGAGCAACAUGGUAACUAUAUCAUGAUAGGGUUGGUAACUACAGUACGAGAAGGUUAAAGCAUGAUAACUUUAGCAUGGCGAAGUAUGAUAAUUUAGCACAGAAAUUACCGGUGAAUGUUUCAAAAACAUUUUUCCCUUGGAUGAAAGAUACCAUGGUGUUUAAACGUAAGAUAUUAGGUCUGUCAUGCAUAAAAUUGUCAUAAACUUACAUAGAAGUUACCGGAGGAGUUAUGUUUCACCGUUUUUUCCUUGAAGUCAAAGUUAACAUGGUGGUUGAACGUAAGUUAUGAGGUCCUAGAAAGUUACCAUGGGGUGUACAUAAGUUAUCAUGUCUUCAGUAUGUAAAUUAUCAUGUCAUUUGCACAGAAGUUACCAUGAUAUGUUUCAACAACUCCCCACCCCCACCCCGGUCGCCAAAGUUUGUAGAACCGGGGUGUACACAAGUUAUCAGGUCUGCGGUGUGUGAGUUACCAUGUUAUUCACACAAAAGUUACCGAGAGGAUAUUNNNNNNNNNNNNNNNNNNNNNNNNNNNNNNNNNNNNNNNNNNNNNNNNNNNNNNNNNNNNNNNNNNNNNNNNNNNNNNNNNNNNNNNNNNNNNNNNNNNNNNNNNNNNNNNNNNNNNNNNNNNNNNNNNNNNNNNNNNNNNNNNNNNNNNNNNNNNNNNNNNNNNNNNNNNNNNNNNNNNNNNNNNNNNNNNNNNNNNNNNNNNNNNNNNNNNNNNNNNNNNNNNNNNNNNNNNNNNNNNNNNNNNNNNNNNNNNNNNNNNNNNNNNNNNNNNNNNNNNNNNNNNNNNNNNNNNNNNGUGCAUAAGUUAUCAGGUUUGCGAUGUGUGAGAUACCAUGCUAUUCACACAAAAGUUCAUCGACUACCCCCACCCCCUUUCGCCGCGAAAGUUACCAGGACUGGUGUACAGAAGUUAUCAAGUUUGUAAUGUGUGAGUUAUCAUGCUAUUCACACACAAAAAAAGUUACCGAGGUAUAUUUCAUCAACUCCCCCCACCCUCACCCGGUCGCUAAAGUUGCCAGGACCUGGGUGCAUAAGUUAUCAGGUAUGCGACGUGUGAGUUACCAUGCUAUUCAUACAAAAAGGUAUCGAGGAUACGUUUACACUAGUUCUGUUUGGGGUCAAAAAACCUCCACACUGCCUUCUAACAUCAUAACCUGAACCAGACUUAAAGUUGGUACACUGUAGUACUGUAUUUCUUAGACGAGAAACUCAAACCCAAGUUUUUCUUGCGGACGGAAAUACUCAACCCAUGCUUUUCUAAAACACUCAACUUGAAUGCAUUUGCUCACCGCCUCAUACCCAAAACAGGUAAGUGCCUCGAGGACCAACGGAGUGGAACAAAAUCCAGAAGUUUCAUUUCCUCCCCUGAACAAAUCUCAGCUUCAGUGGUGUUGUAUACAUAUAUACUGUACGUUGAUAAGCUAUAAGAUCUUAUUCAAAUUUAUAGAAUGAAAAAUGUUUCAAUUCGCCCCGAUGAUAGUACAUAACACAGUAUCAAACACAUGGCUCAGAACCAAAUCCAACCAGAAGGCAGAUGAUAAUGAAGUGAUCAUCCAUUGUCCUGUCGUAAGUAAGACGGCUGAAAGUCUGACACACUUGCGGAAGCUCUGUGGAGAUUCUUUCUGGUGCACAGUGCAUCCAAUACCGUCAACAGACAAUGGCGUCAGUUAACUGUCAGGGAUCGAUGAACCUAACCUUGUGAAAAUCAUUUCUUCGGAUUAUUUCUCGUCCGUUUCCUUGGUCUAGAAAGCAGCUUAAGCAUGUUAUCGGUCAGGUCGAGCGGGGAGUCGUCACCCUCGUCCUGGAGCUUCGUACCGGACGUUUGUGUCAACCAUCCCAGCGCUUCUAUCGCGGCAUCCCUCUCCGCGACCUGCUUGUUCCUCUUCGGCUUCCCGACGAACUGCAUCCCUUUGAACUCCACCAUGGCCCUGAACUCGUUGGUCUUGAGGUGCUUUGUCUUGUACUUUGGAGGCGUGUGGCCUGCCCUCAUCAGCAAGGUCUGCAGCAGGCUCUUUGGGUUCAUACCAUCCUUUAUGAUGUUGCUUUUGCCGUCUUCGUUGUCCCGAAGCCUAGCUCUGCUCGUUUCUCGGCCGAACACAAACCUUCCUUCACAUAGGUCGCCUGCAGCAAGCUCUUGUGCAGCAAAUAAAAUGUACUUGCCUUCCUUGUGAAUAUCAAAGGUUGGGUCUUCAAGCUGGAUUUGGGAAAAUUGCCACAUUACAAGCACAAUCAGCAUAUACACCGAAUAUGGAAGACAAAAAUUAAGCAAAUUGGAUACUCAACAACUUUGUUUUUAAUUUCUUACUGGUGACACAUAUAUUAUAAAGUAGCGCAUGCUUUAUAUUCAGGGGUAACAACAUGAUAAACAGUAUAAUCAUUAUUCCCUUGUUAGCUACUAGAAAUGGCAGAGGAUUGUAAUUUGGUACAUAAAGUAUCACCGAUGUUUCUUUUACUUAUUUGCUGAAUCAACUAAAACAUCUUAUGAGAUGAAAUCUGUAUAACACCUUCCAAAUUAAUUGGUAGCAGCACUUUACCUUCUUCUGUACAAGUUUAUCAAGUUCUUCUUUAAGUUGCAAGUAGCACUCUGACAGGCUGGGGUCCAUAAAUAGAUCAAUGUAACCAUCAAGCAUCUUCAAAUGCCCAGCCUAUUAGACAAGUUAGAAGGCAUAGAUCAGUGCAACAAAAAAUGCAAAAAUACAUAGACAAAGCAUUUGACAGAAUACUCAACAUACCGCGCUUCCUUUUGUGACAGCACCACCAAAUAAGAUCAGUAUGGAAUCUGAUACUCCAGUUGAAUCACGGAUGAAGACAGCAUUUACCUUCACCUUCUCACCAAAGACCAGCCAUGGAUAAGGGAUGGUCUGGUACUUAGCAUUCACAGAAUUCUGAACAAACCUUAAUGUCAGAGACUCAGAGUACUCAGAUAAACAUGUCCGAAAGAUGAUGUAUUAAACGGGGUGUUGGACAUGAGCAUUUCAGGACGCUCCUGUAUGCACUUACAGCAUAAACAAGAACUUGGCCAUCAUCCAUGGUCUUGAAGGACAUGGAGUUUUCCCUGUGCUGCAAAGGAAUGCUAAAAAUUAAUUGAACUGUCUUCCAUGUAAUACAAAUGCAAUGGAAAUUGUUGGCAGCUGUUUACCACAACAGAUGAUAUCCCAGGAAAAAGUCCAGAACAAAUUACGCCACGAACUAAUGAUUGAUUAUGGCUCAAACUAUUAUUUGUAUUUGCAUCAGAGUCUAUCAAACCGGCGUCCUUUAAGAUAUAGCUGAAUUGCUUUCGAAGAGAAUGAAUGGCUUGUAGUGUUUGAGCAGAAAGGAAAUUCCUCCAACAGUACUCAUAACCAGAUCCUUCCCUCUCAGCAUCCUUCCAUCCUUCAUAAGCUCGGACAAGGGCCAUAUGAUCACUAUAAUCUUUCGCUGAGAAUCUUGAUUUUGCAGUUCCUGCCAACUAAUAAUAAUGACAAAACUAUAAGCUAAGCCUUCUUAGCUGAAUGAAAAAAAAUGGCUUGGGAAUGAACGGAAUAUAGUAAAAUAGCUAACAGCCACCGUGUGUACGACUGUACGUAUUGGUGGUAUUUAGAUCUUCCUAACUUUUAUCACAAAAUUCAUAGGGAAGAGAAUCAUUUCAAAACUAAAACUAGUAAUUAAGAUAUAGUCAGACAGUGGAAAUUAAAGUCAUACAUCUUUCUUGUCCUGUGGCAACAGGAAAGGAUCCCGGGCACUCAAUCCAGCAACCACAGUAAGUAUAGGGUCAAUGCAACGGAAAACUGCACCCAUUAUAAGCAUCUUCCCCAACUUUGGAUCAACCGGAAGCAUGGAGAGGUAUCUUCCUACAAAGUUGAAUAUGUUUCAGUGCCAACAUUCCUGUAGCGUUUGGAAGAAAUCAGAAUAUAAGGCAUACCUAGAUCAGUAAGGUUCUCGUUCUCAUCUAAUGAUCCGAUCAUCUUCAGGAAUUCCACUGCAUUUUGGACCUACAUAUUUAUCAUGUGGUCAGAACACAAAAAUGAAAAGGAUAAAACUGAACCCUUUACUGCCUACUUAAAACAAUAACUCAUAGAGUUAUAAGCCGUGUAAGAGCCCAACAAAUGUCAAAAGUACCAAGAUAGAACUAAAUCAUGUAGACGCAAAGACAGAGAGAAAUGGAAUAUCCAAAUGCUUAAUUAUGAUUUCAACACAUACGGCUCGUGGUUCUGGAGGCUGCAAAGCAGCUGAUAGAAACUCCCCAAUGCUGUCAACCUGCAAACUUUUUAUCUGCAAACAUAGUGAAUUCAAAGGAGUCCUAAGAAGCUCUGGAAGCUGGUACUCUGCAAAUGCAUCAUAUACACAUCUGGGGUAGAGAUGAUAGCAUUCUCCAGGUUGUACACGACCAGCUCUGCCCCUCCUCUGCAUGAAGAUAUUGGGAGAAAACAUGAGAAUUGUAGCAAAGAAGAUGAUUUGUAAACAAAAGUAUUGACUAUUGAGUGUGAUCAUAUCGCCCAAACAAGACUGUUACGGUCAAGAUAGGUUCACUGUUAUACAGAAAGUUAUUCAUUGCUAGAAAAUUUCUUGCUUGUAACCAACGACAAGUAUAUAUUGACCACCGAAGCAGAAUAAAGAUGCUUUGACUAAAACAACUUCAUGAGAGGAACGGGAACGUUGACGUGCUUGUUGAGGAAUACAUUAUUAUUAAGCGAGCAAAAGAAAAUAAUGGGGUUCUGCUAAGAAGAUAGGCCUUUUGACUUGAUAUAUAAACCAAUGGGCUAAAUUUUGUCAACUUAUGACCACAAAUGACCAGAAACCUCAUAUUAAGGCAUGCCCUCAUGGCCUCGUACAGGCAAAUCAUAUAAACAUGGUAAAUAGCUGACAAAGAGACGGUCAAACAUAAUAACACAAUGAUACAUAACUCGCAAAGACAAGAGUCUCACUGGUCAACAUAUAACAUACAGAAGGGAAGCAUUGCUUUGAGCUAUGGAAGCUGCUGAACGUGGGUCCAAGUAUGUGACAUUUACCAGAUUGAGUCGAAGAGAAAGGGCUGGUGACUAAGAGACUGAAAAAUUGAAGAUAAGGAUUACCUGACGGGAAGAAGCCUUUGAAAUCCAUGAGGGGAGUAAGCAGGGAGUGUUGUUUAGAGCAUCGUAUGUGGUUUCCUUUGCUUUUCCACAAUCCAUGACGAAAACAAUGUCAUUUAUGGUAAUACUUGCUUCUGCCAUGUUAGUGGCAAGUACUACCUUCCGAACAUUAGGAGGUGCCUUGUCAAAUAUUAGCCUCUGCGGAAAAACAUAAUGUUAAAUAUAAAUGUGAAUGGCAAAUAAUUAUACGAUGCACACAGGAUGCUAUGGAUAUAAUGAUAUAUGCACAUCAAUGAACCAGUAAGCAAGGUGAAUCUGUGUAUAUAAGAUGCAAUUACACAAUAGAAGUGGUAUCUCAGAUCCAGUGACACAAUUGGCAUCACAAAGCAAUCUCAUUUCAAUAAGAAAUGCAAAAUUAGGAUCAAUUACCUGCUCAGAAGUAGCCAUGGAACCAUGGCAUGCAAGCAGCAACACUCUAUUUGGGUCACCUAGCAACGGAUGCGCUUUUAAUUGAUCCUUCAAAGAGCUAAUGUCAUCCCAUCCGGUCAUAAAUACUAAAACUGCACCAGCUCGCUCUUUGCGACAUAUGUGGCACAGAACAGCCUCUAUGAGAUUAAACCCUAUGCAGUCAGGAUUCCAGUUUGCCAGAGAAUCACGUGUCCUUGAGCCAUAGGUUUCAAAGUUCGAAUUUUGAAGGGCAUCCUGCAUAGUACAGUAACAAUAUCUGAAGAAUGUUGAGGAAUAAUUGCAGUCAUUAAUCUCUAUAUAGAACUAGUACCUCAACAAGUGUAGUAAUUUGAUUUUUCCUUUUUCUGGGCAAUAGCUGUCUCUGAGUCUUCCACACUUUAUCUUGGCCGUAAUCGUCAAGUUGAUUACUUGCUGUCAUCUUAUAGCCUGUCCUCUCUAAUAUGUCUUCCAGAAAAUGCGCCCUCACUGGAUGUGUGAAUCCCUGAAUUCAGGGGAAGAAUGCAAUGGAUGCAAGAUCACUUACACAGUAUACCAGAGGUACACAAGCUGGCAGAUGAGCAUUAUGUAUAUAGAGUGACAUAUUACAUUUAAAAAAAUAACAACUCACAGGAAUGUGGAUAGUUGGUGCUCCUCCAAAAUAACUUGAGAACAGUUCCGCGUUUAAAGUAGCACUCAUCAAUAUCAACCUUAGAUCGCGGCGCCGUGACAAUAGGUCCUUUAGAACGAUCAAUAAGAAAUCUGACAGACCAAAGCAAUAAUAAUUUGAUUAUUGUCAUGAGUUAAAUGGGGAACAAAACCAUCAUAAGGGCAAUUAAUAAGGUCUUGAGACACAACCUUCGUUCAUCCCUCUUUCAUGUAUUUCAUCAACAAAUACAUGAGACACUCCAUUCAAGUUUCGGUCACUCAGCAAUCGUCUUAGUAAAAUACCACUGGUGCAGAAAAGUAAAUGUGUAUCUUUUCCUCUAAUUCCCUCCAAUCGAACUUUGUAGCCAACCUAUUAAAGAAGCUAGUGUUGUAUGCCAAAAAUUACAAUGGAUAUGGGCUACAAUAACAAAGGUAGCAAAUCGGAAGUUCCAUCUUACCGAUUCACCAAGGUUUUCUCCUCUUUCGGUGGAUACCCUUUCUGCAACAGCCAUUGCAGAUAUUCUUCGUGGCUGUGUACAGAUUAUGUUACAAAAGGCCCCUCGACCAGAUUCUAUCUCUGACUCCAACACAAAUUGAGGCAACUGUGUUGUUUUUCCACACCCAGUCUCCCCAGAAAUAACUAUAACCUGGCAUGCACAGGAAUAGUCAGAUAAAUAGAAGGACAGAAGGGAAUUGCAACACAUCUUUCCACUGAGUUCACAAAUCUCAUAAGUUCCUCCCAGACAAGUGUACCUGAUUGCGUGCAAUGGCUGCUAGAAGCCUUUCCUUCUCCUUGUAUGCUGGGAGUGAUUUCCGAAAUUCUACCAUCUUAGCGCCUUCAGGUGAUUCCUGUUAUUACAAGCAGAUAAAAGCUUCAUCCAAUAUUUCCAUGAAUCAGCAGCUCGCGUACAGAUAUGUAAAUGAAGAUAUAAGAAAUGGUGCAGAAGGUAUUUGUAAAUCAUGCCUUUGUUUCUUUCCUCUAACAUAAAUCAAGCUGUAUGCUAAAAAACAGAAAUAAAGCUAUGCGGCAUUCAGAUACUGUUUGGAUUUUAUCAUACCUGCCAACUUCUUUGAAAAUUGCGCAUCCUAAGACUCUUCCUCUGAAGGAUCUUCUCCAUAACCGACUCGUCGAGCAGAGGAUCCUGCUUCUCAUCCAAGUUGACCUGCUCAGCUUUCUCGGAACCACUUUCUGUCUUGCCACCGUCUUUAUCAAACGGCAAGAGCGAACGGUCAAGGUGCUCCUGCACAAAUCCUUCAACCCUCCUCUGCAAGCUUAGCGGGAUCACCACCUGUUUGUUUCCAUGCACAGCAAACACAUACACGCCAUUCAAAUGGAAUGCAUUUGCAAUAAGAGAAAGAUGUGUGAUCUUGCCAUUGGAUUGCAUGGACUCACCUCUCUUUGCGGGCGCUUGUCGUCCAGGUCUGGCCUGUAGUUCGGUAGCGGGACCUUGCUCGCAACAAUAACCUUCCCAUACAGCUCACUGUCGUCCCACAGAGGCAGCACCGCCCGAAAGAUUCAUCAACAUUUCUGUGACUGCAUAUGAAAUUAAGAACUGGGGGCAGGUGAAAUUACAGUACACAACCUGUAGAGCCCCAUCCUCUUGGCGAGGUUGGCGAUCUGGUCAUAGUCCCGGCGGUCCCUCCGGUCCCUGGAGAUGAUCUCCUGCUCCUCCGCAUUGCGCUGCAGCAUGCUCAGCUUCCACCUCCACUCGUCGAUGUUCGCCACCGACGACGACGGCUGCGGUUAGCAUUUGGUGUGAGAGGCAGCAAAUGAGACGAAGAAAAGGGUGGAAGAAUUGUUUUUUUUUUUUGCCAGCAGCAUAGAUAAGAUGUGCCGCCCGGCGGGAGUGGAGUAUACCCGGUGGUCCUCGUACUCGUGGUCGUACUCGUCGUCGGAGAACUGCUCGACGGCGCGGCCCCCGCUGUAGCCGCAGAAGGUCCGUCGGGAGAAGGCAUCCAGGCGGCGCGGGAGGAGGAGGAGAGCAGCGAGAGGGAUCGGCGGCGGCGGCGGCCGGCUGAGUGGGCCAGGGAGUGGGACGAGGAGGAUGCCCAGCCCGCGCCGCAAGACGCGGCGCAUGCUACUGUUGGCUGGUUGGCUGGGCUCUACUGCUGCGGCGGCGCGAGCAUGGCCGGAAGAGGAGAUGGAUGGGGGGAGUGAGGCGACGCCGGCGUCGGGGAAGGGGGGAGGAGGCGGCGGCUUGGCUCCCGUUCGAGCUUGGGCUGGUCCUUCACGGGGCUGCCUUAUUGGGCCAUCCGAAUGGCGGCCUUCGGUUCUUUUAAGGCUCGGCUGUGAAAAUGGGCCUGUGCAUCAUUCUUCUGGAAGAAAGAAAACUGGUUUCGGACCGUUCGCAGCUCCUGCCCGGAUAACCAAACCUCUCUCUUGGACUCAAAAAAACAAAAACCUCUAAUUUCAAAAAAAAACAAAGAACCUCUCUCUUCUUCCACUAAAAAAACAUCUCUCUUCUCAUAAAAAAAACAAAACCUCUCUCUUUCUCAUAAAAAACAUAAACCUCUCCCAAAUGUCCGGACCAAACUGUCCGACACUUUUAGCCAUCCAACGACGGUUACCAUAAUUGCCCGAACCGGUCAAUGUCAUCCGAAAUCCCCAAAAUCAGCACCAAACUGGAGGAGGUUUGCGACAGUCUGGACGUCAGCCAUGUCGGACUCCGACACCCCGGCCAACCCAAAAACCCUAUCCAAAUAUCUCAUUCUUUCACUCCAUCCACCCCCAUGUGCUUUAUAUUCACGCUCCUGGACUCCGACAUCGUCGUUUUACCACUCCAAACGUUGCCAAGGCCUUGUCGGACUUCCGCUGCUCCACCCAAGCAGUCACCCAACUUUGCCUACGCCCGUCAUUCCGCCCACGAUCCAAUUGCCUUCCAGAUAGCCCUGAUCCAUUACGGACACCACACAUGGCGAGUGUUCGGCCAAAGGCAUAGCCAAAAAAAAGUGACGGUUGUUUACUUUGAAGCAAACACGGUGAAUUCGGACGAGGAUUACUUCUACACCGAGUUCAUGGAUUUGUCGGAUGAUGAUCAAACGACGAUGAUGAGAGCAAUUCUUAAAGACACAUAGCAUGCGAUGGAGCAUGCUCUCAACUUCAAGGGUUCAAUGACGGGACAUAUGAUGUUGUAUGACAACUACUUUCAAACGCGUCUACCGAGGUGUCAGGGCCUACUAUGAUUACUUUAAAAUUGAAGAAGGAUGUCGUUACAAACAUUGCGGGUUCUUUGGUUACCAGGAGUGCACGACUGUUAUGAGGCUGCUUUUCUAUGGCACAAUCGCAAAUUUGUGGGAUGAGUACCUUCGGAUGUCUAAAAGCACAUGUCUCUAAGCCAUGAUCAGAUUUUCUACCGUAGAGGUCAAGGUGUUUGGACCGGAGUUCUUGAAAGAACCAAAUGUCACAUACAUAGCAAGGCUCGUGGCACUUGGAGAAUCAAGUGGGUUCCCGGGUAUGCUCAGAACACUAGAUUGCAUGCACUGAGAAUGGAAGAACUAUCCAUAUGCUCAAUGGGAGCAAUACCAGGGCCAUUGCAACAAAAAAAACAUUAUUCUUGAAACAGUUGCAUCAUAAAGACCUAUGUGUUUGGCACUCUUUUCUUUGACAUGCCUAGGUCUCACAAUGCAUCAAAGUGUUGCAAUGGUCUCUUUUGUUUGCAAGGUUGUGCGUGGGCGAAGUCCUUGCGUGCAACUAUACCAUAAAAUGGUUAUGAUACGGCAGGGGGUACUAUCUUUUUGAUGGUAUAUAACCUUCGUGUGUGACCUUCGUCAAUAUCAUCUAUGAGCUAAGGGGUAACAAAAAUAUCACUUUGCCCCAAAACAAGGAGCUCGAAAGGAUGUGGAGGGGCAUUUGGAGUGCUCCAAGCCCGUUUUGUAGUUGUUCGCAGACAUGCUAAACUAUGAGAUGCAGAGACAUCAUGGGAGGCGAUGACAACUUGUGCGGUCAUGUGCAACAUGAUUGUGGAAGAUGAGGGCGAGGGAGUUCGCCAAGGUCUGGAAUUUCAAGAUAUGGGUGAAUGCAAACCUUUUCUUGUGCAGCAGAAUUCGGCGACGUUUCACGAUUUUCUCCAAGUGUGUCAUCAGUUUCUUAGUCUAGUAAAUCAUGAGCAGUUUCAUAAUGAUCUGAUUGAGCAUCUGUGGGCAUUUCAUAUGGAUAACUAAAACAUGUAUCUGAAUAAGUUAAAAUUCAAAUUUGAACUAUUUUAUUUCAAAAUUUUACGUUUGAAUUAUUGUUUCACUGAAAUAUCCAUCUUUCUAUUAUCAAUUAAUUGUGAUAUUUUUAUUAUUAUUAUUAUUAACUUUCAAUACUCUAGGCAUAGGAAAAAUAACUGAGUGGCCUGACAUUAAAUGAGUAGGGUUGGGUGGCCAAUGUCUCGCCCGCUGUCCGCUGACAUAUUUAGUGCCGUGUGGUUGGUGAUCUGCGUUGGAGUUGCUCUUUAUCUUACUUCACAACAUAUAAAAUUGUGGAGGUGAAGGGAGAAAACCAAAGAAAAUGUUUGCCUUUCUUAAUUAAGAGAUGAUAUUGUAGCACGAUAUUUCUCACCGCAUAUUUAGAUAUAUCUAGUUACUAGAAAUAGAACUAAGAGAUAUCCAUUGUAUAUAUAUUUCUAUUGUUAUCUCUAAAUUACAUGUUAGAGUUAAAAUAAGAUUGCCUGUCAACCACUGUAUAUGACUUCAAGGCAUUUUUAUUACUCAAAGAGGCUUAUUUUAAGAAAACAUAUUAGGAUGUGUUAUAAGAUAGUCUUAUCUUGCGUCCCGCACAUAUCUGAAGAAGUUUACAGUGGGAUUGUUUGUUAUUCUUAUGCCCAAUAGUUUUUUUUGGAAUUAAUGAGCUCAAAGAGCCCAACAUUCACUACUUAGGAAAUUGAUAAAACAUCAUUCUGCUCCCACAUCUUCAUCUAUUAGAACGGCACACAAGCAUACCGUCUGUACACCCCACAAAAGAACAUGCACAAAAUAGGGAAUCCAAGACAUGGUUCUAGUUGAAAAACUCUUACAACUCCAAGCCAUACAUCUAAAACAGGGAAAUCACAUAAACGAAAGUAUGCACGACAACUGCUUAGAUCAUCAAAGACUCAAAGAGCCAUCCCAAAGCUUUUUGGUCUUUCAUCUUUCAAACUUGUGCACACAUGGUGCCCAGCCAAACUCUUGUGGGAGAGUUUAGUUGCCACCAAAAGUAACCUACUCUAUUCGUGCCACAUACAAAACCCCCGAUAAUUAAUUGCAUGAUCCUAUAUUUGUGGGGGUGAAGGUAACCUCUUUUUUCUUCAUAUACUUGUCUCUCUUCCAACUCAGCAAUUAUAUUUGGUGGCACUCCUGCUCUUAUAUGCAUGUUUUUUAAACUAUGCAUAGACUCAGAUCCUUGGAAGAAAAAAAAUGUCCAAGAUGCCAUGAUUUUCAUUUUUUUAAAUCAAUACUAUCAAGUAAGGCUUCUAAAAUCUGAUUACAAACAUGUCCAAGAUGCCAUGUUUUCAGGAAUUGAUGGGACUAGUAACCUAGCCACAAACAUAAAUCCCUAAGACUACCCACAGCGGGGAGUAACUUAGAGUAGUAACAUGCAUAUGUUACUAGUCUAUGUUACUACCUCUAUAGUGGGGAGUAACAUAUGUGGUGUCAUGCAUCACUUCAUUUAUUAGGCUGUAGACUCAUCUUGUCUUGAUAUGCGUGAUGUUACAGUAACUAGCUAUGUUACCACAUGCCUCUCUUUCUUCAUUGAUUACUUGCCACAUCAUCUAUUUUAGCUAGAUGAGUGUGAUGUUACCACCUAUGUUACUCUCAUUGUGGGCAGUCAACAUACUAGCAAAGGCUCAUUUACACCAUUUAGUUGUCACCUGGUCCUUUUCGUGUUCGAUCAAUGCUCAUGAAACUAGGAUGGGUGGGUGUGCGCGUGCACAUGAGGAUGGGGCGGAUCUUUUAAUAUCCAUCGAGAUUCUAUUAGUUUGGUUCUGUAUCACUAAAGUUUUAUUCGCAGAAAGAAGAGCACUCCCUCCGAUCUAAAAUUUUAGUUCAAAACUUGAACUAAAACCACGACACUUAUUUUGUGUUGGAGGGAGUAUAUACUGAAGUUUAUAGACGACACUUGUUUUACAGAAGGACUGUUUGGCUUGGUGCAAAAAAAUGGCUAUCAGCAUAACUGGCCAACCAUUCGAGACUAGUCCCUCCUUUCCAGAACCAUUUAUUGGGCAAAUUUUGAAGCUGCCAAAUGUUAGCACGUCAAAAGCAAAGCUGGCCAGCUAACCACUGGCUUGUUUUGUUCUCACCUUGCUUGCAGUUGCAGGUGAGCACUACUCACCGUGACGGAUAGGCAAAAGAUAAGAGGAUGAGGCCCAUCAUCUCUGUCUGUCGUGCCAAAUGGGGGAUCAUCGUUGGCAAACCAGAUAGCAGGCAUGCUUUGUUUUCGCUUUUUCAUUACGGGUGAGCGCUCGCUGCGGCCGAUGGCAACGGGGUCAGUACGAAAGCCAUCUGCCAGAAGGAAAGGAAAGAAUUGAAUUGUGAUCGCAGAAAAAAAGGAAAGAAUUGAAAGCCGGGUCCACCCAGCAGCGAGAGGAAGCAGUGAGAGUGCACACACGCAAGACGCACAUGCUCGACGGAACGGAAGGUUCUGUCACCAUUCCGUUGCGGGGCAGAGAGAGAGGGGGAGAUUGACGGAUCAUGAGGACCGGCCCCGACCGAGCUGUCCGUGGGCCUGGGCAACCACCACCAUCGCGACGCUUGACCGAAUCAAAUCGAAACCAGUGGCUGCGCGUCCCCCCGGCCCACCGUAGCCUAAACUAAACAAACGCCUACUGGACGAGACUGGACCAGCCGAUGCCGCGUCAUUAUUGGGUCGCUAAUCACUUUGUUUAGGGAACGCUAAUCACUUUUUAAGGAGCGCUAACACUAGACUACUAGUCGUACAGGUCAGGGGAGGUGGCCAUGCGCCGCCGCGAAGCAAACGCAGCACGCCAGCAUGUCGCCCAAGUAAGACCGGCCUCCUGAAUUGACCCUUCCGCCCCUCGCUCCCCUGGCCAUAGACCCCGCGCCCACACCGGUAAUAUACCGCCCAUGGCGAGGGCGACGCGGGUAUUCCGCUCGGGGGCCCAGUGGUAGUACUAGUAGGGGCUUGGGGUUCUGACCCGUCUAUCGAUCAACCCGGCCCUUUUUUCUCGGCGACCAACGCACGCACGCGAGCUGCUCGAGAAAGAGAAAAGUAGCCAGCAGCGGCAGCGGCAGCGGCGAGAGCGAGCACAGCCGCGCAGACAGACAGACGCACGCACGCCACGCCACGCCAUUACAAAUCGCCCCAAGCACCAAACCCUACCCAACCAGGCAACCACCACCCGCCAGCCCUCCCGCGGAUCCCCGCCCUCAGCUCGCGCCUUCCUCCCGUCUCGUCUCGCCUGUCCUUUUUUCUCUCCCGCCGCCGCGCCAUGGAGGUGAGCGACCGAUUGCUGCUCUUGUUUUUUUUCUUUUGUGCGGCGGCGUUGUGUCUUUGGAGUGCGUGGGUCGCUGACGGGCCGUGCCUUGUGGGUUGCAGGAGGGGAGGAGGGGGACGAGGACGGUGCGGGUGCGGAACAUCUCAGAUCUGGCCGGGGAGCGGGAGGUGCGCGAGUUCUUCUCCUUCUCCGGCGAAAUCGACCACGUCGACAUCACCCCGUGAGCGCCCGCUCCCUUCUCUUCCUGAAUUCCUUCCCUCCCCACUCGUGUCCCGUCUGUCUAACCGCAUUGCGGUUUUGGGCUUGCUGCUGCAGUGACGGGGCGGCGGCGGGGAGGACGGCCUACGUCACCUUCAAGGACGCCAAGGCCCUGGAGAUCGCGCUGCUGCUCUCGGUAUGCAUGGCCUUGCCCAAUCAUCCAAUGGCUACUUCCGUCUGCGCAAUCUGGUUGUGCUGGUGUUGUCAAUUGCUAUCUAUAAUGAAUUAUUUUGCGUGCUGUCAAUGUCAUUGUGAACUGUAAAUAGUGUGGUAGGUAUACGCAGCUGUUAUGGCUUUUGCAUUGGACCUAAUUUUUUCCCAUCGAUAUCAGUACUUGAAGUGUCUUUGGCUGGAAAGGAAAUUAGGAAGACGCUUUUGUUUGUUAUCUCCAUGAUAAAUUGCACUUGGGGACAGUUGACAUGGAUGUAGAAAUUAGGAGGAAUAGAAAUCUUUCAUUCUAAUCGUUUCCCCUCUUGUGGCAUUCUGUUUGCAUUGUGAGCUUUUUUCAUAGUAGAAGAAGGUGACCAAACUUAGGAAGGAAUUGGAAACCACAUUUGAAUUUCAUUGCUUUCAAAUCAUUUGGUAAGAUAUGUUGUACUGUAUUGUCAUGUCCAUCAACUGGCAAUAUGAUGGAAUGACAGUUGACACCGCUACUUGUUUGUUUGUGAAAUCUGUAGAGCCCAUUGACCAUGUUUGAGUAAAGAAAAAGGAAAUUAGUAUUUUAAUCAUGGCUGCUUUGAUUGGCACAGAAGUGUGCUGCAUAAUAUACUACGAGAUUGCCGUUGGAAUUCUUUGACUUUGUGAUCUUUUUUGUCCUUUGAAGUAACUAGCAUGCCAGUCAUUUCUUUAUGUGCACAUGUCCUUGCUCCAAUCAAGGGGCCUUCCAGGUUGACAGGUCUACAGUGAAUUUAUAGUUGUAUAUUAGCUCUGUGUCUAUUUCACUUUUUUUACACAUCACCACGUUCCUUAGAUCUGCAUAACUGCAAAACAAACAAAUGUUGAUAAGCUUCCCCAUGCAUGAUAGCGUGAAUCAUUAUAAACAAUAUAUUCUAUUUCUUUUUCAGGGAGCAACAAUUGUGGAUCGAGUUGUGAACAUAACCUCUGCUGAAGAUUACAUCUACAUCCCUGUUAAUGAACAGGUGCACUAUUCAACUAAUUAAUGUUACAUAAAUGGCAGUACUCUAUCCGUCCUUUUUUUCAUAGAGAGGUCCAUUUUGAAAUCAUGCAGCAACUUGUGAUGAAUGAGGUGACAAGUACAGCUCCUACUGCAGAUUUGGGACAACCUACUGAGGUAUCUUUGAAUUCCAUUACAUUUACGUUUCUUUCUUUUCUCUUUGUAAUAUCAUGAAAACCCCAUCAAUCAUGGGUCACUGUGUGGAAAUCUGCCCCAAAUAAAAAUAAGAAAAUGAGAACCUUGGGUUAUCUGCUUAUAUGUUACUGUAGUGGAUCAUCCUUGUUACUGAUUACUGAAGUAUGACCCUACCAUGUAGGCCAACGCAAGCCCCACUAGUGUUUAUGCCAGCAAGGCUCAUGAUGUCAUGACAACUGUGAUCGCAAGGGGUUCAGCAAUUCGACAAGAUGCUGUGAAUAAAGCUAAAUCAUUUGACGAGAAGCAUCAGUUAAGGGCUAAUGCGUCAGCUAGGAUCAGUUCCUUCGAUAGGCGUGUUGGCCUUUCAGAGAAGUUAAAUACUGGGAUAUCUGUCGUAAAUGAAAAGGUGAAAACUGUGGACCAAAGGUUACAUGUUUCUGACAAAACAAUGGCUGCUUUGCUGGCUGCAGAGCGCAAGCUAAACGAUACAGGCUCUGCUGUGAAAACCAACAGGUCUCUUCUUUUACAUACCUUUGCUAUUGUUCACUUAAUCAAUUUGAUGUGUGUUUUUAUAUCAGCUGACGAUUUACCUAUGUCCUGUAUGGCUGAUCCUUCGCCCUCAUUUCCCCUACUUGUAGGUAUGUGUCUGCUGGAACAAGCUGGCUGAAUGGUGCCUUCAGCAAGGUCGCCAAGGCUGGACAUGUUGCUGGCUCAAGAACAAGAGAAAAGUUCCAGAUAGCUGUGUCAAAUAUAUCAGCCAAAGUAAGUCAAUAAUGAAUUUUACUGGGUGAAUUUAGCACCAGAAAGAUAAGCAGUGCUAUUAAAGACAUGUAGCAACGCUAAAGAGCUGCCUUCUGCACUUUUUCUUGUUGUCUAAACAGUGAUGAAGCAGAACUUUAUUUGCAUUAUUAUGGUUAUUAUUAAUAGGCAUGCCCAAUAGCAUACCAUCGUAACAUCAUCCUGCUGCUGCCAGUGCACAUAUGAUUCUCAACUUUGGGAGCUAACUGAUCAUACUUCUAGACUUCAAGCAUUACACACAAUUUGUUUCCAAUAGGUGCUACUCUAUUCUCCUGGACAUUACCAAGUCAACAUCAUAUUCUUACCUGCAAAUAGUAGACCCAGUCCUGAUCCCUGAUUAGAAAAAUACAACCAUUUAGAUAAACUCUCAACCAAGAGACAACACCGAGCAAGAGAUAUAGAGUCAAGUACUGGAACAAUUUGUCUGUUCAGUUAUAUGGUUUUUAUCUGUUCACUGUAGAGCAUCUAUGUUCUGCAGAAUGUGAUGCUGCGAUACCGGUAAUGCCUUUGCUGCUUUGUUAGCUUUUGGCAACAUAAGUGGCAUUAUCGAAGGUAGAUUGUUUGUGUGCAUAACUUAGGAACAAAUGUGCUUUUGAAAAGCCAUUAAGUGGCAUUAUGGAAGGUAGAUUUUUUGUGUGCAUAACUGUAGGAACAAAUGUGCUUUUGAAAAGCCAUUUUAAAGCCAAUCCAUAUGCACAUUUUUUUCUCCAGGAUAUAUUUUGUCAAACAGUAAUUUAUUUGCAACCUUAUUUCUGUCACAACAUAGUUUGUUGCGUCUCAUGCUCCAAUUCCACGUUCUUUCUUCUUUUGCUGUAAUAGGGGCCUGCUGUCGUUGCUUGAGCGUGUUGAGUUUGUUCUGGGAGGCUCCUCUUUUUGGUGAAAAUCUGCUGGAAACCUUGAGCAAGCACCUUCCGUUGGUUGUGUCAUCAAGCUGUGGCUUGUAACUGUGUAUUUCUCUAUUUUUUUUUCUUCUUCUUUGAGGAGGUUUUAACUUUCAGGGAGUUUGUCAGAUUUGGUACAUAGAGGAUCUAAAUUUUCUUUAGAAUUUUAGAACCACUAUUCCUUUUAGUGUCGGUGUUCAAUUGAUUAUAGGUGGUAGUGACAUUUUGAACCAUGUUCGGUGUGGCUUCUUGAUUGUCAUUGAUGUCCCAUGUGUCAUGUCUCUGCUUCUGCAGAAAUUGUCACUCAAAUUGAGUAAUUUGGAACAUAUGGAACUGCAGUGCUUCUUUGUGUACACAUUCAUCUUGUGCAGUUAGUAUGCAUUUAAGUUUCAGUGCAAGCAUGUUAAGUCAAGGGAAUUGUGAUACUCCCUCCGAUCCAUAUUACUCCCUCCGUUCCUAAAUAUUUGUCUUUUUAGAGAUUCUAAUGUGGACUACAUAUGGAGCAAAAUGAGUGAAUCUACACUCUAAAAUACGUCUAUAUACAACCGUAUGUAGUCCAUAUUGGAAUCUCUAAAAAGACUUAUAUUUAGGAACGGAGGGAGUACUUGUCUUAGAUUGCUCUUGUCUAGAUACAUAAAUACAUCUGUAUCUAGACAAAUCUACUAAUCUGAGGGAGUAUAUUUUAUGAUUAUUAAUUUGAUUAGAUUGCUUCAGAACAACGCUCACCAUUUUUCUUCUGCUAAUCUGUCACAUUCAGAUUGUUAUGAACUUAUUAGUAAGAGUGCUCAACUGCUCAUCCAUAAUAAGUUUCCUCAAGUACUCGAUCCUAUGUGGCUAUUAUGUACUCCCUCCGUCCAGAAAUACUUGUCGAAAAAAUGCAUAAAAAUGAAUGUAUCUAGAACUAAAAUACAUCUAGAUACAUCCAUUCCUCCGACGAGUAUUUCCGGACGGAGGGAGUAGUUCUUAUUCCUUCCGGUCGCUGUCCUUAUUCUUGUGUUUUCUAAGUCUGUGGCUUCGUUGCUGAACUAACAACGGUUGCAAUGGAUUAUCGAUAUGCAUUCUUUUUUAGUUUUUUGGGGCAUGUAACCAGUGUAAAAAAAAGAACGGAAACGCUAACGCCCACACGUGUGCACACGCCUUGAUUGCCGUCCAGUGCCUUUUGCACGAAUCUUGGCACGAAACGGCUGGUUUUGUGUGCCACGUAGGACAACUCGUGUGUGUGGCAUGUGAGGGAGUUCGCCCGCACGCCGGUUUUCUCUUCACGGUCAACGGUUGCCAGUCGGGGCGUGCGGUGGAACUGCUGUCGUGCCCGCACGCCAUGCCCGACUGCGGUUGCCGUCUACCACGUCUCGCCACUUCGCCCCCCUCCCCUCACGGUUCCAUUACUCCCCUCCCAUUCAUUACUCCCCCAACCCACCAUCCACACUAGUUGCAUUUGAUUGGAGGAGAAGCCGAGAGGAGAAGGCGACGGCGGAGCCGGAAGAGUCGACGACAUUCGCGGCCGUUGGUGGGGCUCGCCGGACCGGAGCGUCGUCGCCGGAGAGCCGUAGAUUGAAGGUAAUGCUCCAUCCUACGCUCACAUUCCUGCCUGCAUUUCCGCCCCCUCCCUCUGUGGUUAAUUUCCGCUCGAGAUUCGUCGAGAUUCCGGCGGUUUCGCGGUGCUCCAGCGUCCCCGUCGGCGGUGGAGUCCGGUGCUUGCCGUUUAGGGCGGCAUUGCGCAGUUUCGUCGCCGCCGCGGUGGCAGCCAUGCCGGUGUGGCUCGGCCUGUGCGCAGCCACAUCCGGGUUCUGCCUUGCGAUUGAGCCGACGAUUUUUCUAGAUGUUAGUUAUGUAUUGCUUCGGAAUGCUAUGGCCAUUAGUGUAGGGAGUUUUUUGUUGUUAAAUUUCAGGGUAUGAUAGUUGCGAAUGAACCCUAGAUCUAGUUAGGUGCAUUUCAAAGUGUAGGAUAAUGACAGCCGUGGCAUUUUUCAACAACUAUCUUCACUGAUGGCAACUAAUUUCCUGAUCAACCGUGUUAGUUGCCACAAAUAUGCUUUCCAUGUGGAAACUAAUUUUGUGAACACACUAUGGCUGUUGCCAUGUUAUAGGCAGGAUAAUGGCAAAUUCACUAUACUAUAGACUUAGUUUGUGUUUUGCCAUGCUGACUUGUGAUAUUUGAACAUUUUUGGCUGUAUUACAUGGUAACUCAUUUUUUAUAUGAGGCCAGGGUGUGAAUUGCCACAUUAGAUGUUGUGUAGUGGAACUUGUCUGCCUUUUUUUUAAAGUGCCUUGCAUUAACAUGGCAACUUGAACCUAGUACAUUGCUUGUGAACACAUGGCAAUUAUUUUUAUAUGAGGCCAGGGCGCGAGUUGCCACAUUAUAUGUUUGCGCAGUGGAAGAUGUCUGCCUUUUUUUGGAGUGCCUUUGUGCUAACAUGGCAACUUGAACAUUUUUAAAGUGCCUUACGAUCUGUACAUUUUUUUGAAGUCAAUGUGUUCAGUUGCCACAUNNNNNNNNNNNNNNNNNNNNNNNNNNNNNNNNNNNNNNNNNNNNNNNNNNNNNNNNNNNNNNNNNNNNNNNNNNNNNNNNNNNNNNNNNNNNNNNNNNNNNNNNNNNNNNNNNNNNNNNNNNNNNNNNNNNNNNNNNNNNNNNNNNNNNNNNNNNNNNNNNNNNNNNNNNNNNNNNNNNNNNNNNNNNNNNNNNNNNNNNNNNNNNNNNNNNNNNNNNNNNNNNNNNNNNNNNNNNNNNNNNNNNNNNNNNNNNNNNNNNNNNNNNNNNNNNNNNNNNNNNNNNNNNNNNNNNNNNNNNNNNNNNNNNNNNNNNNNNNNNNNNNNNNNNNNNNNNNNNNNNNNNNNNNNNNNNNNNNNNNNNNNNNNNNNNNNNNNNNNNNNNUCAUUUGCCACUUUCAAUUGAGCCAAUAUGGCAAGUAGAUUCUGCUAGCUGGCAACUGCCUCCUUCAUAAGCUCAUACACGCCCAGUUUGCCAUGCUUCUGCAAUUGCUUUUCCAUUUUGAUUUUUUCCUGCCUUUUUGUGCAUGUUCAGCACAUGGCAAUUACUGCCCUCUUCAGAUGCUUAAACUUUGGGGCAACCAUUAGAGUUUUCAUUUUUUGUUCAUCAAAGAUAUCAAGUGAAAUUUUACUUUACGCAUUUCUUUCUGUAUUUGUCGGCUAUGUUUCCAUUUCACCUUAAUGUGUGUUUUGUUCUUACCUUAGCACAAUGGCUCGUGGCGACCAUCAAGACGACGAUGAUGACUUCAUGGAGUUACCGCAACAGAAUCGCGCAACUGGUCGGACAAAAGAUGGCGACGAGGUCACUUUCCACCCCCAUAUGUUUUAAUGUCACAUUGAGUUUGUAAUCUUCCGUUAGAAACCAAAUUUUCACGACAUUGAAACAUGGCAACAAAUGAUCCUUUAUCUGUUAUGCAGAAGAAGAAACGUUAUCGCAAUAGGGCUUCACAAGAACGCCUGACUAUAUUUACCGAGGGAUUUACUGACGAGCAGAAGGGAGCUGCUGGUGAGAUGGGGAUGCAGGCUCUGAUGGAUGUUCGGUGCAAGAACCUAGUGAACCCUAUAUGCGACUGGCUCGGUGAGAUUUAUGAUCCUGCCUCCAGGGAAUUUGUCAUUCCGGGACGUGGAAGACUGCCUUUGGACGAGGAAUCCGUGUUCUGCACUUUGGGUGUGCCCCGUGGAGAAAUCAAAGUCCCGUAUGAGGUGAAUAAUAAGAUCGAGGAAGCCUUGUUCGCCCGUUUGUUUCCUGGGAUGGCAUCCAUGCCGAAUACGACUGUGCUGGCAACUUCGCUGGAGGGCAUGAAAACCCAUGGCGAGGUUUUUAAGAUGAAACUCCUCAUGUACCUGAUCUCACCUGUUUUUGCGCCUACCACAUCUCUUCGCCCAAGCAACAAGUGCUUCCCCAUCCUGGUGAAUGCUCUCUCUCUACUUCUUUCUUCCUUCAUUCUUUUGAUUUUGAUGUCAUCUGGAAGCUAGUCACUGCCAGUUUUUUUAUGAUUUCAUUUUGAAUGCUGAUGCGGCAACUUUUUGUCCUAAAAUUUGUGUCGUGUAGGCGAAGCUGAAAGACGUGAAGAACAUGAAUUGGUGUAAAUUCAUCGCGGCCUUCCUGCAUGAUGCAUUCUCAAACAAGAAGUACCAAAAGGGCUGUCGCCUGCACUUAAUGGUAUUUUUCCCUACUCUUUUGCAAAUACUCUUACCACGGUUGAAUGUUUUCCCAAAUCAACAUGUCAGCUGUUUAUAAGUGUGAACCGUACAAGAUCAUGCAUGUCAACCCUUUUGUUUUCAUUGUUUAUGUGAAUUGUUUACAUGUGAAAGUGACCUCUGUUUGAUCUAUGGCAUCUGUGGUUGCUGCCUACAAGGCAAUAGCAUUUUUCAACAACACAAAAAAGUGUUCAUUUCAUACAUCCACUCUCUGUUUAUACAAUCUGCAUGGCAAGCAUGAUGUUGAGCUUGUGGCAACUAUCAGCAUAACAAGAUGGCAACUUGUAGGAUUGAAAGUAUGUCUAGAGGGGGGGGGGUGGUUAGACUACUUGACCAAAUAAAAAUCUAGCCUUUUUCCAAUUUUAGUUCUUGGCAGAUUUUAGCAACAUAGCACAAGUCAAGCAAUCAACCUACACAUGCAAUUCUAAGAGUAUAACAGCGGAAUGUAAAACAAUUGCACAUGAAGGUAAAGGGAGGAGUUUGAGGGAGCAAACACAAUGUUGACACGGAGAUUUUUUAUCCGUGGUUCCGAUAGGUGGUGCUAUCUUACAUCCACGUUGAUGGAGACUUCAACCCACGAAGAGUAACGGUUGCGCGAGUCCACGGAGGGCUCCACCCACGAAGGGUCCACGAAGAAGCAACCUUGUCUAUCCCACCAUGGCCGUCGCCCACGAAGGACUUGCCUCACUAGGGUAGAUCUUCACGAAGUAGGCGAUCUCCUUGCCCUUACAAACUCCUUGGUUCAACUCCACAAUCUUGACGGAGGCUCCCAAGUGACACCUAGCCAAUCUAGGAGACACCACUCUCCAAGAAGUAACAAAUGGUGUGUUGAUGAUGAACUCCUUGCUCUUGUGCUUCAAAUGAUAGUCUCCCCAACACUCAACUCUCUCUCAUAGGAUUGGAUUUGGUGGAAAGAAGAUUUGAGUAGAAAGCAACUUGGGGAAGGCUAGAGAUCAAGAUUUAUGUGGUUGGAAUGGAAUAUCUUGACCUCAACACAAGUGUAGGUGGUUCUCUCUCAGAAAAUAUGUAUUGGAAGUGUAGGCAUGUUCUGAUGGCUCUCUCCAUGAAUGAAGAGUGGGUGGAGGGGUAUAUAUAGCCUCCACACAAAAUCUAACCGUUACACACAAAUCACCAAACUCGGUGGGACCGAUUCAGAGAACUCGGUCAGACCGACUUGGUUCAUAAUGUGACCGUUAGGUGUUUCGGUGGAACCGACAUGUCAACUCGGUGGAACCGAUAUCAUUAGGGUUAGGGCAUAACGUAAUCUCGGUGCGACCGAUUUUGGUAAUAGUCAAACAGAGAGUUGGUCAGGCAAACUCGGUGGGACCGAUUUGCUCAUCUCGGUGGGACCGAAACGUUACGAAAAGGAAACAGAGUGUUUGCAUUGCAAUCUCGGUGGGACCGAUCGCUCAUCUCGGUUGGACCGAAACGUUACGAAGGGAAACAGAGUGAUUACAAUCCCAUCUCGGUGAGACCGAUCCCUAUCGGUGAGACCGAAAAGAUUAGGGUUUUUGGCAGUGGCUAUGUCAACUGAACUCGGUGGCUCCGGAUAGAAAGAAUCGGUGGGGCCGAGUUGGAUAUUUGUGGAUGUGAGAAAGUAGUGGAGGGUUUUGGAGCAUAUCACUAAGCAUUUUGAGCAAGACCCUCAUUAAGCAACACCUCAUCCCUUCUUAAUAGUAUUGGCCUUUUCCUAUAGACUCAAUGUGAUCUUGGAUCACUAAAAUAGAAAAUGUAGAGUCUUGUGCUUUGAGUUUGAGCCAAUCUUUUGUCCUUAGCAAUUUGAAGGGUCCACCUCCUAAUCCAUGCCAUGCCAAUCAUUGAGCUUUCUUGAAAUAUUCAUCUUGAAAUAGCAUUAGCUCAACGAGCUAUAUGUUGUUAGGAAUUACCAAAACCACCCAGGGAUAGUUGCACUUUCAAUCUCCCCCUUUUUGGUAAUUGAUGACAACAUAUAUAUCAAAGCUUCGACAAGUGAUAAGAUUGAAAAACAUCGUCGCUUUGAGAAGAAUGUGAUAAGCAAGAGCUCCCCCUAAAUUUGUGCAUUAUUUAAAAUUUUCUUUUGAAUGCAAAUGCACAAUCGAUUAGGAUCAUGGGUUACUCUUCCAUGUCACAUACAUCUUGGUGGAGCGCUCAAAAUGAUAGAAAUUAAAACACAUGCACUCAUCACCAAGCAAAGUGAAUGAUCAUAAGAGGAUAUAAAGAUAAUAUCAUCCAACAAGCAUUAAGGGUAGCAUAUGAUCAAACACAUGAUCAAACAAGUAUCUCACAAGGACAUAAAGUUUCAAACCAAACCAAAUAAGUGCAAAGAGAGAAUAAAAAGGCAACACUCUCUCUCGAAGCCUAUGAUCUAUACAUUUUUCUCCCCCUUUGGCAACAAGUUACCAAAAAGUUCAAAAAUUCAUAGUGCUAAAUGACUCUCAGGCUUGAUCUUCGGGAGGUGGUGUUGAGAGAACUCCAAGGACGAAGGCUUCAGAUGAAGUAGCUGGAGCUGGUGGAGUAGCUGGUGGAGGUGGAACUGGAGCUGGAGCUGCUGGUGCUGAUGCUGUAGCUCUGGUGUCUGUCACUGGCACUGCAGCAGAUUUCUGUCCUCUGGGCACUCUAGCAAAAGCAUCUGUGGUAGACUUGCCCUUCUUCUCCUCCGCUUCCUCCUGAAGUUGCUCAACUGCAGUUUGGAUUUCUGUUACCUUGACAUCAAGGUCAUAGAAUUUCUGCUCAAAGAUCCUCUCCAGACUCUCUUGGGUGGCCAAGCCCUUCUCAAUCCUCAGGGUGGAUUGGAUCAGAUAUCCAAGCUGGUCUUGCUUGCUCUUCAAGAAUACCUGAGAUGUCUCCUCUACUUGGCAUCUUUGCAGCCUUCUCUGCCUUAGCCUUCUCUCUCUUUUCAUGUGCUUGAGCUGAAGAUGGUUCAUUCUCAUUCAUCACUACUGUGUUAUCUUCAAAUUCAGGAUAGAUGGGCAGGUGCUCUUUGUCCAAAAGAUAUGUGCCUGUGCCCAUCUUUGAGUUGAUGGGCUCCUGAAUGUGUGGGGCAUACCUACAACUUCUCUUCUGGUCAGCAGCAGUCCUCUUGAUUGUCUCUACAAUCAGGCUCAUAACUUUGAACUUCUGUGGGACAUCAAAUAUGUGCAGCAAGUUGAUGGCAUGUCCUCUGAUCAUCUUGUGAUCACCUGACUUGGGUAGCAGUGUGUGCCUUAAGAUCCAGUUUAUGGUUGGCAGACCAGACAACAAGUAGUGUACAGAUCCAAACUUAUGUGUAUCCAAAGCAGCAUCUGGGAUAUCUUUGUACAUGUUGGCCAUAGUGUUGUGGUCUUUCUUCUUCUCUGCAUAAAUGUCCAAGUCUGUUCCUCAGGAGAAUUUAUAAGCUUGGCCCAUUCCUCAACUGUAGACGGGUACCUAGUACCCUCAGACAUCCAUACUAUCCUUCCAUCUGGAUAGAAGUGUGCAGUGGAGUAGAAUUGCAUGAUGAGCUCAUCAUUCCACUUGGUGAGCUUCUGGGCAACAAGAGUGUCCACCCCACAUGCCUUGAAGCUAUCAAGCACACCAGGGAAGUGAUCCUCAUUUUCCUUGAUGAAUUCCCAGUCAACCCAUCUCAUAUCACACAAUGGGCUUCUUGUCAAGCAGAAUAGUCUCAUAGAAGUCCUGCUGUUCCUUAGUGUGAAAUCUGUAGUCCACAGCAAUCCUUCUCCUGAUAGCAUAUGGAUCAGACUGUCUCCAUAGUCUUAAUCCUGCAUCCUUCCUGAUUUUCAUGUUCUUUGCAACUGGGUGUGCAUCAGUGUGGUCAGGGAUCUUGGGCUUCAGCUUUCUCAAAACAACAGAAUCAUCAUCUUCUUCUUCAGCAGUUUGAGGCACUGGGGCCUUGUUCUUCUCUUCAGCAGGUAUGUUCCUGGUGCUUCUCUUGGGUUUUGGUUUUGGAGCUGGAGCAGCAGCCUUGGGAGCAGCUUUGGGCUUUGAAGGAGCAGCCCCUGAUUUAAUUGCAUCUCCCAUAAGCUUUUGUGCUUUGGGUGCUGGUGCGGCAUCCUCUUCCUCUUCCUCUUCUUCAGACUCUCUCAUAAUUGAUGGCUUCCCAAUAACUCUGGCAAUGGUCUUCUUGACCCUUUCUUUUCUCUUCUUGCCAUCUCCAGUUUCCUUGGGUUCAAGAGUGAACUCCAUUGUUUCUUGAGUGGAGGCUCUGGCUUUUGACAUUGGAACUCUUCUUGCUGGAGCCUUUGUUUUCAGUCCAGGCUUUGUUGCAGCAGCUGUGCCAUACUCCUUUUUCAGCACCUUUUUCUUUGAAGUGGCUUCAUCUUCAACAACCACAUAAUCUUCAUCCUCAGAGUCAGAAGUUUUCUUCUUCCUAGUCCUGGUGGCAGCCUUUGGUAGAUUGCUUGGAGUGCUCCUGCUGCCUUCAUCAUAGCUGCUAGAGGGAUCUGAACCCUCACUCAUCUGCACCUGUUGCUCAGACCUGUUCUGACUAUCACUCUGGUCGACAUCUCUGCAAAUACUCUGACAGCAGACCCUGUGAAUAGGUUAUAGAUGAGGUAGAGUAGAUGAGCAUCACAAAGUACACGAGUUUUGCAAAAUGGAUGACUUAAAAACUUAGUUUUAGUUCUUCACAGAAAGCAUUUCGGAUCUACCGAUUUGUAAACUCGGUGAUACCGAAGCAGCUUUUGGAACCUAAACUAGUGAACUCAGUCAGACCGAGUCACAGUUCGGUGGUACCGAGACUGCUAGGGUUUCACAGAGAAUCGAACUCGGUCACACCGAUUUGCAAUUUUUGGUCAGACCGAAAACGCAUGUGCACUGGCCUAAGCCAAAAUCGAUGAGACCGAUUUCUACAACUCGGUCGGUCCGAGACGAAUUCGGCGGAGAUCUAACCCUAAAUUUUCAAAUCAAAACUAAUCUACGGGAUGUUUUCGCUGGACAGGAUGAUUUCAAUCAUGGCAAGAAUCAUGGCAAAGCAAUGUGCUAAGAAUCGGAGUUAAGGAUUAGCACAAAGUUCAAGUUCGUACCCUAGUUCGGCGACGAACUUGCUACGGCGGCAACAGCAGUGGAGAUUUCCGUUGACGGCGGCAGAGACCAACGACGGGAGGUCGCUAGCGACGAGAGGACGAUCCGGAGACCCGAGGAGGCAGAGUAGGUUACGCGCGGGCGAGGAGGUUUGAAUUUUUUUUCCAAAAUUUGGCCCGUCGGUAUAUAUAACCUGACCCUGUCGGUGUGACCGAGUGGAACGAUUCGGUGGCACCGAGAUGCAAAACUGCAAGCAGUUACUGCAACUCGGUGUGACCGAAAAGUUCUAAUCGGUUGCACCGAGAUUGAAAACCCUAGAUCAACUUAGUGACUCGGUAGGACCGAAAAGGAUGAAUCGGUCAGACCGAGAUGCACAAAGAGGUUUUGGAGGUUUAGUCUAUGAUGAAUUGGGAACUCCGAGUGCUCCUCACACAGAGUGGUUCGAAUCUGACUUGAUCAAACUUUGUGAUGUAGCAUGAAUAGAGUUUGAGACGAGAAAAGCAUAGAUAGCUAGAGGGAGUUCUUAGGCAUUCUUGUUCAUCCAUUUGGCAAAAGAGAAAGAGCCAAACAAUCAAAACAACAAAUGGAUGUCCUCGAAUGAGUAAAAUAUGCAACCAACAUGCUCACACAAUAAAAUGGCAAAUGAAAUAUGUGACAAAGCAUGCACAAACACUCUAGCAUCUAUCAAGCAGUUUGGUGAUGACUAAGUCAUCUAUAUAUGAGUAUAUUGACAUAGGAGUCAAAUGAGAACAUUUGAUCAUAGGUCAUACUCAUCGUUUAAGCACAAGUGGGGUUACCACUUUUACAUAAAGCAUUGUUGUGUUCACACCAUUAGAGUUGCUUUAGCUCAAUUGAUUAGAGUAAAGCUCCCCCUAGAUGUGAUAUCCCCCCUAAGAGGGAUGAACUAACCUUGGGUUUUGUCGAUGAUGACUUCAUGUAGGUGUUGAAGAUGUAGAUGCUCAAUGUUGAUGUAGAUCAUGUGGAGCAAUCCUUUGGAGUGAGUUGCACUUUCAAUACCUACACGGGUUAGUCCCACAAGGAACAAACAAGGAUAUCCAUAGACAUAGAGUGAUGCAUACACAAGAUGAUGUCCAUGAAAGCAUUAGGUUACCUUGUCCCUUGUCUUACCAACAAGAGGGUUUGUGACUCCUUGAACUAGUGCAAGAUAUGGAAGUUGUUUGCACUUGUCCUUGCCAAAAUGAUAAGAGUGAAGUAUGUUGGCGGAGUCACCCUCAAGAACUCUCUAAUUCUUCUUCUUCUGGAUCCACACCAUCUUGAUGGGAAUCCUUGGAGUUGUAGUUGUACUUGAUGAGGUAGAACUUGAUGUAGUCUUGGGAACCCACUUGACCAAGGCCUUAGGUGCUUCUUCAUAUGCAUCAAUUUCCUCUUGAAGCUCGUCCUUGCCUUUUUGCUUGUGGUCUUGUGGUGGAAGAUCAUCUUGAGCUCGUGUCCCUUUGAAAGAAGUAGGAUCAUAAUUCUCUUGUUGAGGAACAAACUUCGUCUUGGGGUAUUGAUCUUCUUCCCACUCAACUCCAUUGGCAUUGAACUUUCGUUCAAAACCAACACCUUGAUUCUUCCGGUGUCUUCCUUGCUUGCGCACAAUUUCCUCAAAUUGCUUACUUUCGGCAAGGCUCUUGUAAACACCUUUCUCUAUAAUGCCCUUCAAUAAGCUAUUUUCUUACUCAAGUGUAACUUGGCUAAGAGAAUCAUUAGUGGAAUCAAGAGAAUUACUAGAAGCAACAACAUUGGAUUUAGCAUGAUUGUUGUUACUACUAGAUGAAGCAUCUUUCUUGUUCUUGUUACUAGAUUUAACUUGUGGCAUGUAAGUAGACAAGAGUAAACGCUUGGCAAUGUAAGAAGAACUUUUCUUGCGAAGAUCACCAUUGAUUGCCUUUAAAAAUUCACGCUCUUGCUCAAGGUUGAGCUUUUCAAAGCGUAGCUUAUCAUGAGUCUUUAAAAGUUGUCGAUGAUUUUCCAAGGUAGUUUCAUGAGCUAACUUAAGAGUGUUUAGUUCUUGAGUUAGACGCUCAAUCUCCUUCUUAUCAUCAUCAUUCGUUUUAUCUUGAUUAGCAUGAUUAAUUGACGUUUCAUCAUAGUCUUCAUCACUAGAGUUGUCAACAAGUAAAUCAUCAUCACCUAGCAAAUCAUCUUCAUCACUAUUGAAAUCAACAUACUCGAGAUGUGUUACCUUUGGACCUUUGGCCAUGAAGCAUCUUCCAAUUCCUUCAUUUGGUGAGUCAAAUAUGUCGUAGGAGUUGGUUGACACAAGUGCUAGACCGGCAACACCUUCAUCUUGAGUAUAUUCGGAGUCGGAGUGAUAACUUCUUUCGGAGUGAUUGUCGGAGUCGGAGCCGGAUACCCAUUCACCAACAUGAGCUUGAUGUCUUCUUUUUGUGUAGCUCCUUGAUGACUUUUCUUUCCUUUCCGAAUCCUUGCUUCUCCGAGAGGGUUUUCGUUCAUAACGAUCAUCUCUACUCCUCCUUUCUCUUGGUGGUGAUUCUUCUCUUCUACUUCUUCUUUUGGGAGAAUCUUCUCUUCUUUUGUAGGGGGCCGUACACUCAUUGGAGUAGUGUCCGGGUCUUCCACAAUUGUAGCAAUUUCGCUCACGACUAGAAGAUCUUUUGUCAUUGUAGGACCUUGACUUGGAACUUCUUUCUUUUCUUCUACUCCUGUAGAACUUGUUGAAGUUCUUUACCAUUAGGCUCAAUUCUUCAUUUAAGGUUUGCUUCUCACUUGAUGAUGUGGGAGCAUCACACGGGGCUUUGUAAGCACCACUUGACUUGUUGUGAAGCUCUUCCUGUGACAUCUCAUGAGCAACAAUUCUUCCAAUGACUUCCGUUGGCUUGAGAUCUUUGUAAUUGGGCAUCAUUUGGAUCAAUGUGCACACGGUAUCUUAUUUCCCAUCCAAGGAUCUUAGGAUCUUCUUGAUGAAUUUGUCGGUCAUCUCUUCACUUCCUAAGCCGGCAAUCUCAUUUGUGAUGAGAGCAAGCCUAGAGUACAUUUCAGCGACACCUUCACCAUCCUUCAUUUUGAACUUGUCAAGUUGACUUUGAAGCACAUCCAAUUUGGAUUCCUUGACGGAGUCGGUACCUUCGUGCAUAUCAAUCAAAGUAUCCCAAAUUUCCUUUGCAUUCUCAAGACGGCUGAUUUUGUUGAAUUCUUCGGGGCACAAUCCAUUGAAGAGAAUAUCACAAGCUUGAGCAUUGUGUUGUAGCAUCUUCAACUCUUCCGCGGUAGCUUCACGAUUAGGUUCUUUCCCAUCGAAGAAUUCACCUUGCAAGCCAAUACACACAAUAGCCCAAACGACGGGGUUAUGUCCAAGAAUAUGCAUUUUCAUCUUAUGCUUCUAACUAGCAAAAUUUGUACCAUCAAAGUAAGGACCUCUACGGUGGUAAUUUUUCUCGCUAGACGCCAUACUCUCCUAGGUUAUGAAACCAAGGCUAUGACCACCAAAAGCUAUGGAAAUCAAAGCAAAUGGAGACCAAAGCUCUGAUACCACUUGUAGGAUCGGAAGUAUGUUUAGAGGGGGGUGAUUAGACUACUUGACCAAAUAAAAAUCUAGCCUUUUCCCAAUUUUAGUUCUUGGCAGAUUUUAGCAACAUAGCACAAGUCAAGCAAUCAACCUACACAUGCAAUUCUAAGAGUAUAGCAGCGGAAUGUAAAACAAUUGCACAUGAAGGUAAAGGGAGGAGUUUGAGGGAGCAAACGCAAUGUUGACACAGAGAUUUUUUAUCCGUGGUUCCGAUAGGUGGUGCUAUCGUACAUCCACGUUGAUGGAGACUUCAACCCACGAAGGAUAACGGUUGCGCGAGUCCACGGAGGGUCCACGAAGAAUCAACCUUGUCUAUCCAACCAUGGCCGUCGCCCACGAAGGACUUGCCUCACUAGGGUAGAUCUUCACGAAGUAGGCGAUCUCCUUGCCCUUACAAACUUCUUGGUUCAACUCCACAAUCUUGACGGAGGCUCCCAAGUGACACCUAGCCAAUCUAGGAGACACCACUCUCCAAGAAGUAACAAAUGGUGUGUUGAUGAUGAACUCCUUGCUCUUGUGCUUCAAAUGAUAGUCUCCCCAACACUCAACUCUCUCUCAUAGGAUUGGAUUUGGUGGAAAGAAGAUUUGAGUGGAAAGCAACUUGGGGAAGGCUAGAGAUCAAGAUUUAUGUGGUUGGAAUGGAAUAUCUUGACCUCAACACAAGUGUAGGUGGUUCUCUCUCAGAAAAUAUGUAUUGGAGGUGUAGGCAUGUUCUGAUGGCUCUCUCCACGAAUGAAGAGUGGGUGGAGGGGUAUAUAUAGCCUCCACACAAAAUCUAACCGUUACACACAAAUCACCAAACUCGGUGGGACCGAUUCAGAGAACUCGGUCAGACCGACUUGGUUCAUAAUGUGACCGUUAGGUGUUUCGGUGGGACCGACAUGUCAACUCGGUGGAACCGAUAUAUUAGGGUUAGGGCAUAACGUAAUCUCGGUGCAACCGAUUUUGGUAAUAGUCAAACAGAGAGUUGGUCAGGCAAACUCGGUGGGACCGAUUCGCUCAUCUCGGUGGGACCGAAACGUUACGAAAAGGAAACAGAGUGUUUGCAUUGCAAUCUCGGUGGGACCGAUCGCUCAUCUCGGUUGGACCGAAACGUUACGAAGGGAAACAGAGAGAUUACAAUCCCAUCUCGGUGAGACCGAGAUCCCUAUCGGUGAGACCGAAAAGACUAGGGUUUUUGGCAGUGGCUAUGUCAACUGAACUCGGUGGCUCCGGAUAGAAAGAAUCGGUGGGGCCGAGUUGGAUAUUUGUGGAUGUGAGAAAGUAGUGGAGGGUUUUGGAGCAUAUCACUAAGCAUUUUGAGCAAGACCCUCAUUAAGCAACACCUCAUCCCUUCUUAAUAGUAUUGGCCUUUUCCUAUAGACUCAAUGUGAUAUUGGAUCACUAAAAUAGAAAACGAGAGUCUUGUGCUUUGAGUUUGAGCCAAUCUUUUGUCCUUAGCAAUUUGAAGGGUCCACUUCCUAAUCCAUGCCAUGCCAAUCAUUGAGCUUUCCUGAAAUAUUCAUCUUGAAAUAGCAUUAGCUCAAUGAGCUAUAUGUUGUUAGGAAUUACCAAAACCACCCAGGGAUAGUUGCACUUUCACAACUGCCAACACAACAUGAUGGCAACUAACACAGAUAGAUGGCAAAUCUUUUGCCUUCAUUCCCCUUCAACUUGUUGACUGAAGGACUCUACAUGAGCUACUUUUUUCAACAUAGCAUGAUGGCAACUGACAUAUUUUCUUUUUAUUUGUGUAUACCAGCUCAUGUAUGUUGAUCGUCUUGAUCUGUCCACCGUCGACUUUACUGGGAUAGGUGGCCCGCCGCCUCCACAUAAGUUUGAUGUCUCUGCGUGGACGUACGAUACUGUCAAGGCUGUGCUUGCCGCAGACAGGAGAACUGAGACGAAAUAUGGGAAACUACAGGUUAGUUCUGCCUCCUUUCUUGCACGGCAUUGUUCAAUUUCGAUGCUGCAUAACAUAUGAAAAAAAACCCAUACGGCAACCACCUGUGGCUAACAAGAGAUGAAUACCUUGUUAGCCAUGGCUGUCUGCGCAUGACACCCAUGUCUAAUCCCACGCGGCAACUCCGCCAUCCGUGAUGAAACUUCUUAUUUCUCCCUCUUUUUUUGCAAUACAUGAAUUGUUAGUCACUGUUCCUUAUUUUUCUCUCUUACAUCUUAGUUGUUUUUGAUGAUUUCCAGCUGAUGGCCAAGCAUGCUAUAGACUACAUCGUGUUUGGUGGGGCUCAAAACUUUGGCAAGUGGAUGGAUGUGCAUUCAGCUCCAUCUUGUCCUGCUGAGGUAAUCAAGGAUGUUUAUUUUGUUUUUUGAAAUUGUUUUUCUCUUUUUUUUGAUAUAUCUCUAUGGUUGUUUUGGUUUAUUUGUUCUUGCGCACAUGACUCUAAUAUGGUUGGUUACUGUUGCUUUUUGUUUCGUGCACAUGCGAGGGCACCUGCUGAGCAUCUAGUUGGGCAGUUUGCUUCCGGCAUGACCAGCUUGCUUGGGAAGUUGGUUGAGGGUUGGACGACACUUAAUGGCUCUGACAGCGACGCGGUUGCGAGGCAGUUCACACCAUUUGUUGCAGAACGGACACAUCGGCCAACUGGUUGCCGUGGCCGGUACGACUACAACAGCUCCCAGGAGCUUCCUGACAUGCAAGAUGAACUAGAUGGAGAUGCUGGUCUCGACAAGGACGAUGAUGAUGACAUGGAGAAUGUGCAACAUGAAACCGACGACGAUGAACAUGUUGAAGUUCGUGCAGGUGGUAAGAAGGACAAGGCUGCAUCAGAUGUCCCCCCACCGGAGAAAGUCAUUGAACAGACAGUUGCGAGAGACAAGGGGGUGUCGCCCUCAAAGAGGGGCAGGGCUCCAGAGGAUGUUGGGCAGGGCUCUGUUGGCAAGAGGUCUAGGACCGAUCCCGUAGCUGCUAGGAGGAGGUUCGACAUAUAUUUUAGUGUUUUGUUUGUCUCUCCUUUUUAACAGACCGACCCUUUUUUCAUUGUUUGCUAAGUGUGGCAUGAUUUUUGUGUCUCACACGUGGUACCUUUUUUGCCAUUUUUUCUACGUGCAGUGAGGCGACAGCGGGUGGACGAGCAGUUACAAAGAAACAAGCACCAACGCCAACCCGUGUUUCUGCCCGAUUGAACAAGGGUGCUCCCAUUGCUGGUGACACCCCUUCCAUUAGGUCGUCUCCUCGUACAUUGAUGUCCAACACCGGGGAUCCUGUCGUGUUGGAAGACUUAAGGAAGACAGUCAAGAAGUAGGUUAUCCCUGUUUUUUCAUUGUCAUAGUGCUACAUUUUUGCUUGAUGCAUUCUAGAUCUUAUGCAACCUUUUUAGUUUAUACAUUUAUGCGGCAACUACCCAUCUGGUUUUCAAUGCAGCUGUCCAGCUUGCCACAUGGGCUACUGCCAUCAGUCCCAUAUGGGAACUGUUGUUUUCUCAUGAUCUAUUUUUUUGCUGCAUGGCAACUCCUGCUUGUUCUGCAUGGCAAUUGCUAACUAGGCCACAUGGCAAUUCUUAUUCCACUUAUAUGGCAACUACCGGCUUUCCACUGGCUUCCACCCCCCUACAUUGUCUUGUGUGCUCAUCCAUACCUAGUUCUCAAAUGGCAGCUCUGGCACAUCACAUAUUUUUUUCAUUUUUAAGAUGGCUACCAUGGCAACUAUUUUGUUCGAAUUUUUACACUCUUCAUGUACUUUUCUUGCAGGGUGAAGAAGACUACCACACGCGUGACCAAGCAGAACUGUAGAGACCCACUUGAACGCAUUCAUUUGAAGCCGUCGACAGGUGGCAACUCAGAUGUUCAUGAGGCGCCAGUCGACAAAACUGCUGCUGCACCGUCCACUAUUCCCACUAGCUCUGAUGCAAGCAGCCGACCAUCUCCGCCGGUUGUAGAUGUGCAUGCUACAACAACAGGCAUCCGUACAUCUGGGGGUGAUGAGUCAAUAUCUGCCAGGACUGCUGAGAUAUUGCCCACUCUGCUGGCAAUGAGGGAUGCUGCUGUGCCCCAUGCCACCCGAUCAGCAAGUGUUGAAGUGGACGCUCCAGAUAUCAACCUAAGCAAGGAAGAUUCCCGCUCAUCUGAUACGGAUUCCAAGCGUGUGGCUGGUGGCACUUCUGCGUCCAUAAAAGAAGGUGCUGCGGUGACAAUUCAGAAUGAGAUGCCAUCCACAGGUGAGACUCUUGGCACAACAGCUCCAGCUUCUGGUGGUCCAGAGGUUGCUACGGCGACCGUUUCGCGAGCUGGUCUUCCACCUAGGCGGCGUAGCCCCCGCAAGCAAUCUGCAGACAUACCCAACGCACCAGCUGUAGCUAGGAGCAGCAGAGAUGACUCUGGUUAUGUGCCUGCGUCCACACUGUUCCCACCACCUGCCAAAAGCAAUGUUAUGGAGAAAACGGAAGUCCGGAGUACAACUGACGCAGGUGGCAAGCCGGGCACGACUGACGGAGGUGAACGUCCGGAGCAGACGUCUUUACCCGCCGUGGAGAACCCCAGCUUAAAUCUGCACACUUCUAAGCUCCCAGUCAACAUUGGUGUCCCAUACAGCCCAAACAAGAAGAUUGGCAAGAAAGUUGCGGUUCAUACCGCUGGCAGCACGCCCCGCCCUACCAAUAAGCCUGAUGAUACUGCAGCAGAUGAGGCAGAAAUGUUUGUUGAUCUGUCACCCCUGGAUUCUGCGAAGCAACUUCCUCGCGAUCCGGCUGGUAAGGAGGAGAGGCACCCAAUGGCCUUCACCCCACCGAGCUGUAGCCUUGGCAUCGAUCACUGUCAAGAUGAACCAGUGGUGCAAGAUCCUAUGCCAGUUGCCUUUGCUUUCCCGGCAGGCAUGGCCCCAAUGAUGGCGCAGCCAAUGGCUGAUGGCAGGAAGACUGUGAAGUUUGCAGAGCCGAUAGUGCAAGGUACAUUUUUUGUGUGUUUAUCAUUUUGUUUUUUACAUUUUUUUAGUCUGACGUUUGUCACAAGCUUUUUUUGGUUUCUCACUUGUGAUGGCAAAUCUCAUCUGAUGCACAUGGCAAAUGGAGUUGCUGCACCAUGCCACCUAUAGUUUGUUGCCAUGUUGCAAUUCCAUUCGCCAAGCACAUGUCAACUGGAGUCGCUGCAACAUGGCAACUUCAGUUCAAUGUACUUGGCAACUGUAGUUGUUGCCACAUGGCAACUACAGUGCACUACACAUGGCAACUCACUAUUUUUUUGCACCUACAUUUCAUAUUCUGCACCCUUUCUUUCACAAUAAACUUGUUUUGUUUCCAGGUAUCCUAACCCACUGUUUCAUCCUCGCAGCCACCCCUGAAGAGAUUAUGCCGUCACUUGAUGAAGCUUACCGCAGGGUUGAGGAGGCAACAUUGCAGAGGAGGUCCUCACAAGGUCAGGGGCAAUCAAGUUCUAACGUGCCUGCUGAGUCGGUAACCGAGGAUACCGUUAGAAGUGCCACCCCUGAUUCUGUGAGGCAGCAUAGGGUAGUUCACGCACCACCCGCGGAUGACUAUGAGCCCGAAGUCAAGGCCACAAAGGAGCAGAACCAACUGUAAGAUAUUGUCAAGCAUUUUGGAAAUGCGAGGUCCAACAACAAGUACAUGAAGGAGCUGAAAGCGUAAUGUCCACACCACAUAACCCCUCACUUGCUUUUCUCUUAUUUGUUUCCUUUUGCUAUUCUAGCCAUGCUUUGUUUACGUUUUAUUUCUAUUUUACUUAGUAGACAUGAUUCUUUCAUGUUAUAUCAUUUUCAUACAGCUCAUGUUUGGACAGAACCAAGAUCAUACAAUGUGAUGCGACGUACGUUGACCUGGGUGAUCUUGCCGAGUCUAUGAGGCCACUCGGUAAAAUGUCGAAGAAUGUAGUUGCGUGUGGGAUUGACUUCAUCAACAGGCAUAUGGAUAUUUGUCCCGACAAAACGAUCAUGUAGUAUAGUGUGACCUGCAAAAUAUGGGAUGGUGACUUCCACCAUAAAAUGCUGAGGAAGCAUUUUGCGGCGCAUGGUGAAUUCAAGCUCACAAUGUAGAAAUGUGUGAGUGUUCCUUCCUUUUUGCACAUUCUCCUCCCAUGCUAUGUUUUGUCAGUAGCUACGCUUCACAUGUGGGCUACACACUAUUUUGUGACAGAUGUUUCAUGUGGCAACAGCUGCCAUGUAAAAUGAGUUUGACUGCUUUUUUUAAUGCAACUUAUGUGGCAACUUUAACUAAAAUACUGGGCAACUUUGUUCAUACAUGGAUGGCAACUUCUUUUAAUUACACAUGGCAACUAAACAUUCUCCGUGGGUGUACUUUUGGACACUUGCUGCUUUUGUCAUUCAUGUACCUCUUAGUGCAUCCGGCACUAUCUUUACACAUCAUUUUUCCAACUACAUCAUUUCUGUUUUUGAUGUGAACUCUGCUUUUUCUUUCCUUUAUUUUACUUGCAGGUCCUAUUCCCCAUGUUCCAGGAGCUUUCACCAAACAACCUAGAUGACAAGUGUGGUCACCACUACGCGAUUUUCCUUGACCUAAAGAACCAACGAUUUGAGGUGUUUGAUUCAAUGCGUCCAAAAGCUGAUGAAGACCUUACUACGCAUGCUGAAUACUUCAUCAACAACCUCAAAGAGACAUGGAACCGUCACUACGAAAACUCAAAGGUCUAGAUCAGACAUUUUCCAAUCGAGUACGUCGCGACUACGAAGCAAGGAAACCGGUAAUAACUCUUUUUUUUCAUGUGUCCUCUACACCAAUCCUAAACCUUUUGACACCUCUGCAUUGAAGUUUACAAUUUUUUCUGUUCUCUUGAGUUCACCUGAUUCUUUUCUUUUAUAGGCACUACUGUGGCUUUCACACAUUGGAAUACCUUGCAAAGUGGGAAGGUUGACGGGUCCCUGUCGUCACAGCUGCAAUGGUCGUCGAGCUCCGCAAAAUAUACACAUGGAACUGGUUGAGGAAUGAAGAUUUCAACAUGCGGGCCAACGCACGAGAGUUCAUAGAGAAAGCUGUCAAGAAAGCCAACAAGAAGUACAAGUGACCACGUGGUGCUCCAUACCGCACGCCUACCUUACAUUCUGUUGCUGAGGAAUGUAAGGUAUCAACUUGUUCUUUUAAAACUAUGUCCGUGUACUAUGUUAUGACUGCAUCUCCCCGUAGCCUAGUAUAUAGUGGUGGCGUGUGAGUGACAUUGAAUAUUUGUAAUAUAUGUGUGGAUGUGAACCUACUUAGGUGUGACAGCAGCUACGUUUAUGUUUUCAGUAUUUAUUUUGUGUUCGUGGUUGGUAGUACCAGUUGGGUGUUUUGAAUGCGUCUAUGAUGCCUGAAAACAUGGCAAAUGUAGUUGAUCAGACACGGUUAGUGAAAGUAAUCGUUCUUUUCGUUU
Molecule: long non-coding RNA, 48179 nt
Filed under: Triticum aestivum (bread wheat)
Lineage: Eukaryota; Viridiplantae; Streptophyta; Magnoliopsida; Poales; Poaceae
Description: long non-coding RNA (TAES_LNC009188)
Rfam family: MIR1120/MIR1122 microRNA precursor family (bases 29010-29134)
Source: RNAcentral